Molecule: long non-coding RNA, 51852 nt
Filed under: Medicago truncatula (barrel medic)
Lineage: Eukaryota; Viridiplantae; Streptophyta; Magnoliopsida; Fabales; Fabaceae
Description: long non-coding RNA (MTRU_LNC001858)
Rfam family: MIR2599 microRNA precursor family (bases 2552-2683)
Source: RNAcentral
GAUUUCAAAUAUGUUUUACUAAAAUAUUAGAUAUCAUAUUAAAUCUAUUUACUUUUUCAAUUGCUGCUAUUCUAAAAUUAAUUAAUGUUUUAGUUAAAUAAUAACACAUUUUAUAAGCAAGUUAAAUAAUGACACUUAAACUAGACAAUUAAGUUAUCAAAACGGAUAUCAAAGUUUAAGAAAACCCACCCAUUUAUUUAAGAGUAUUUUUAUAAAAUAUGUAUAAGUAAUUUGAAAAUAAAGUGGUUAAUAAGUUCUACCUAAAGACAAUCAUUAAAGGAAAUCUAAGUUCAAUUCUUAGAUUGAACAAUUUUUUUGUCAGACUUACCUUCAAAUCGAACUUCGAAUUAUUAAAAAUCAAAUAUUAACACAAAAUAAAAAAGUGUUUCAAUAAAUAAAACACAAUUUACUUAAAAUCAACGUACUAGUUAUUUUCUAAAUAACCAUGUAAAACUAAAAAUGACACUUAAGCAAUAAAAUUUAAUUCACUAUAUUUUUUGUGCAACAUCCUUCCAUUUAAUUCACUACUUUAUAACUUACUCAAUUUUAAUGAUAUUCUAGUUAUUACUCAAGCAAUACAAUUUGCAAGCUAUUUUGUUAAUUGUUCUCUAUUAAUGCAGUAGUUAUAUAUUGUAAAUAAACCCACUUCUUUGUAUUUGAAACCACCUUAAGUGAACUUGUAAAAAUAAGAUGAACUUGAAGUUACAACUUCAACCUUCACCAUAGCAGAACCACGCACUUAUUGUUCAAACAAAUUGAAACAGGUGAUGUACUUUUGUCUUUAUACUAAAACCAAUAAAAAAAUUAACGAAUUAAUGGAACUCAAGUGGUUAAUGAACUUCCUUACAAGAGAAUCCGAUUACGAUUCUUGUGAAUCGAAGGAUUAACAAAAAAGAACUAAUAAAGAUUAUGUGUAAGAUUGCACAGGUACCAAAAAAAAAUUACAAAAACAUUUGUAUGAUUUGUUUUCUUAAAACACACAAGAUUUUAGAACUCUAAAAGAGGUUCUUAUUAUGUUUGAAGUAAUAUUGAGUUUGAAAGUUAACUUCCAUAAAAGUAUGUUGGUUGAGGUAAAUGUUUCUGAGUUGUGGUUAAAUUAGGCAGUUUUGGUGAACUGCAAAAGUGGGAAACAUGCCAUUUUAUGUAUUUAGACUUGACGAUUUGGGGAGAUUUUCGUCGUUUACGGUUUUCGAGCCCUUUGCUUGACCGAAUUAAAGAAUGGCUUUUAGGAUGGACAACUCACUAUUUAUCAAUGGAGGGUCGUCUGGUUCUCUUGAAGUUUGCAUUGUCUUCUCUAUCCCUCUAUUUUCUUUCCUUCUGCAAGGUUUCCACAUGUAUCUUCUCUUCUAUUAAAUCUAUUGUUUUUUGUUUUUUUUUGCGGGGGAGAAAAUUAGAAAAAUACCUUGAACUAAAUGUGAAAUUGUUUGCUUAGAAAAGGAGGAUUAGAGGUUUAGAUGAUUCAGGAAUUCAACUUGUCAUUGUUAGGUGUUGAAGGUUGUAUGUGAUAGGGAUAGUUUAUGGGUUAAGGUGCUCGAAACAAAAGUAUAGGGCGAAUGGGGAUUGUAUUAGAGAAGGCAGACGAUUAUGAUAAGUUUGGUGGAGGCAGAUGGGAGAAAUUUGUAGGGGUGAUGGGUUCACGAUUGGGAGAUGGUUUGAUGACAAUUUAUUGAGGGUUGCUGGAGAUGAGACAAAAACGUUCUUUCAAUCGUAUUCUUUUUAUAACAUUAUUUAAAUUAUUAAUUAAAAAUAAGUUGAAUCCCAUUAAAAUAGGACAACACCACUGCAAUAAGAAUUGAAACUUUUAUUCUUUAUCAAAUAAAAAAAAAGAAUUUUAAUUAUUAAUUAAAAUAGUUUUUUUAAGGAAUUAAAAUAUAGUUAAAUCACAUUGAAAUAGUAACAACACAACUGCAAUAAAAAAGAAUUGGACACUAAUAAGCUAAUUUUAACUUAAUUAGCCACUUGUCAAAAAAAAACUUAAUUAGCCAAUUUUUUUUUUGAAGUGAAGCCAAAAGAAUUUGAUAAGUAUUCUUUUUGAGAAAAAAAAAACAUAUUUGACAAGUCAUAUAAUUGAUAUUUUUCUUACUCACAAUAGUUCAAUAGAAAAACAGACGGAUAAUGUUGUAUUGUAGAUAAUUGUCUUUUUAAAAUAGAUAGUACAACUAAUUAGUACUUUUCUAAGGAACACAUGUAUGUGUUAAGUCAGAUUUGAUAUAAGUGUUUUAGAUUUACAAUGAUGUCAACGGAUCCUGACUUAUAUAUAUGUGUGCGUGUGUUUUGUUAACUUACUUCUACUUACUUUUAACCAAAAACUCAACGAGUGUUUCAGGUCACUCUUUAAAAAUUGGCUUAAUUACACUUUUGGUCCUACCAUUUUGACCAACUCACGAAAAUGGUCCUAUCUUUUUUAAAUCGAACAAAAUCGUCCUUAAACUAUAUGUUUUUUUACAGUUUUAGUCAUAUCUCCCUAUUUCCAACUCCAUAAACGCACAUAAAUGACAGUUUUAGUCCAACCACCUACGUUCAACCAUCAAAUAAACAAAGAAUAAAAUAUGUGGGUACAAGAAAUCUACUUUAUUUAGCACACUAACCUAAUUUCCGAGACAUGUUACAUAUCUGAAAUAUGUCUUAGAAAUUAGGGUUUUUCUUGGUUUGUGUGCCGAACAAAGUAGAUUCCUUGUACCCACAUGAUUUAUUCCUUGUUCAUUUCAUGGUUGAGCAUAGGUGGUUGGACUAAAACUGUCAUUUUUGUGUGUUUCUGGAGUUGGAAAUAGGGAGAUAGAACUAAAACUGCAAAAAAAAAUAUAGUUCAGGGACGAUUUUGUUCGAUUUAAAAGAGAUAGGACCAAUUUCGUGAGUUGGUCAAAAUGCAAGGACCAAAAUUGUAAUUAAGCCUUAAAAUUUUCAAAUUGUGUAGUUAUUUUUUUAAAAACUCAAAUAUUUAAAUUUCCAAUGCACUGGAUACACAAAAAAAAUUGUCUUAAAAACUCGUUACCAUUUCCCAAAACUCAAUAUCAGCUUUUAUGAAACUACUUAAAUGCAUGGACAAAAAAUGUCAUUUACAAUUUAACUAAAGAUUUUUUUUCUUCGGCAAAACGAUAUAAUUGAUUUUUUACUAACUAGCUAAAUUGAGUUUUACACAACUACUCUCUCUAUUUCAAAAUACACGUCGCAUUCAACAUCUUCAUACAUGUCAAUUUACAACUUUGACGGUUUCAAAAUAAUGUUUUUUAUAACUAGGAUGCAUCUAUUAAAUCAUUUAAAUGGGCCCAAAUUCAAACCUUUCUCUUGGCCCAUGAUGUACAUUCUGGACUUUUCUCUCAAAAAACAAAAAAAAAAAAAACUAUUUGUGACAUUUUUCUCUUCAAUUGAAAAGACAAAAACGUAACUGAAAAGACAACAUUUUUCUCUUUGUACGGUAUGGUAUUUUGAUUUGUUGAUUUCGGUUUAUUUAACUUGCUGAUUUCGGUUGUGUAUUGUUCUCAGGUUCAAUUAUUGUUCUUCUCAGGCACUUUUGCUUUGCUGAUUUGUUCUCAUGUUAUGUAUUCCAAUUAUUGAUCUCAUGUACCAAAAUGAUAUUUAGAAACUGGUGUAAUCGAAAAUACAUUGAUACAAUAAUUUCUCCUUUUUUUGUGCUAUUUUUCUCGAGUGUUAAAAUUCCAGUCUACUUUUAUGAUGCAUUGUAUAAGGAGCACUUUUCUCAUAUUAUAACUAAAACCUAUAAAACACUAGGAACGACAUUGCUUGUAUCAAAAUACGUAAAUAUUUAAAGUUUAAUUAAAUUUUAAUUUUUUUAAACUCAAAUUUUAUUGUUCAUCUUUUUUUUUUUAGUUUGAGUGUUACAAUAUACCAAUGUGGGAGACAUAUUUUAAAUUUAUUUAGAAAACUAUUAAUUCAAAAAAAAAAAAACAACUAUGAAAAACAUUUAAAAUAUUUGGUAUAUAUCAUUGUCAAAAACACGAAAACGAAAAGAAAAUAGACAAGAAAUAAAAUGAAGAUUAAACAGCAUGAUGAAAACAUGCAAUGGUGACACAAAAAUUUCAACUAUUAGUCUCUUUUUAAAUGAGACAUAACUGAAAUUUUGUUCAUUUAUUUAAACAUAAAAAAGAUCUGAAAAUUACGAUGUGAAACACAUAGUUCAUUUAUUCAAAUAUUAAAAAGACUCGAAAAAUUAAGAUGACGAACACUCAAGUGCUAGGGGAGAUAUCCCAAUGCAUGCCAUUCACAUCAGUUGGAAGAGGAAGCAUUUGCUGAUUCAGGUGAGCCGAAUCAACACCCAUGACACCAAAAUUUGGCGCAAAAUCUUCAGCAAUUGGGGUGACACCACCAACACAUCUUGUGUUCUCAUCUUCAAUUUCCUGAUAAAUUCCAUUGAUGACAGCCACCCUAUGAAACUCUGGAUUUUUCAAAAGAGUGGCUGUAAUGAAAACAGCACCGGCAGCCUUGACCUUACCCCCAACGAUUCCACCAAACACGUAAUUGCCAUAAUUGGCCUUCACAUAAAUAGAAAAGGAGGAACAUGCUGGCUCAGCUAUUAAUUGGGGAGGAACACGACCAUAUGUCGCAUUCAUGUAAGUUCCAAAUAAGGAUGUCAUUUUGUAUGUUCCUUUAGUUGGAAAAUUAGGUGUACGUAAUAUCGGGUGCAAAAAUGUGACAUUCGAAACAAGACCAGAAGCACUUAACACUGUGAUUCCAGCUUGACGAUACAGAGACAAAUUGAUGAGAGUCUCCACAACAUCAUUACCCUUAGGGAUCUCAAUGACAAUCAAUUCCAUGAGGUUGUCAGUGUUUUCCUUAACAAUGAUGGGUGCUUUGGCCUUGUUCUUUGAGCCAAUGGGUCUACCCUUAGGCUUUUUCGAGGAGGUUGGUUGAGAGACCAUGUCUAGUCUCUUAUCUCCUCUCAUGAUAGAGGAGCUACCUGAGAGUGUGGACACUAAUUUGUUGUGAACAGAUAAAUUUUUGGAGUUUGGGAAGAGUGAUGACGAUACUUGUUUAUUGUUCGUCAUAAUGGAGGAUAUGUAUUUUUAUGAAGAGAUUAACAAUGUGACCUAGUAUUUAUAAUAUUUGUCUUGAAAUUUGUAUUAAUACCCACUAAUAUGUUUUUUUGUAAUAAAAAUUAUUAUAGUCAAGAAAUCAAAGUCGUUAGUCGUCGGUCAACAUCAAAUGAAUCAUAUUUUGUCAAAAAAAAUAAAAAUCAAAUGAAUCAUAUUUUAAUCUCGUCAAAUUGGAUUUAAAAAAUCAAACCAAUUAAUACGAGAUUACUUUUUUAAUGAAAUAUACAAGAAUUGUGUUAUGUUACUUUAACAAAUUUGAUUUUAUGACUACUUAAUAAUUUUUUUUUGGUACAAUGACUACUUCAUAUUUAUUUUAUAUUAUAACUACAUAUAUUGCGUAAUAAUUUUUAGAGUAAAUUAUACUCCUCUUCUUUAAGAGAAGCUUGAAUUACACUCCCCUCCUCUCUUAUGUUAAAAUAUACACUUUCCUCCCUUGAAAAGUAAAAUUUAUACUCCCCUCCAUUAUAAGAUUCUUGAAUUACAACUCCCUCCCUUAAUAAUUAAAUAUGCACUACACUUUAAUUUAUUUUAACAUAAAUAAAUAUUUUUAUGAUAUAUACUAAUUUUGAACUACCAUUUAAGAAAAAAAAUUCAUUUCUUUAUAAUUUAAAUGGCAAUGAUAAUUAAAUUUAAAUAUUUUGCUAUUAAUUUUAUAAUUUAGAGUAUAAAAUUAAAUUUUAAAUAACCAUGCUUUAUUAUUUUUAGUAAUUUUUCACAUAUUUUAAUUUUAUUAUGGGUUAUUUCAUAUUUUAUUAUAGGUUUAAAACUACACGUUAAUGAAAUAGACCCGCAAUACGUAUUUAAAUUUUGAUUAUAUUAAAAUAGACCCGCAAUACUAUUUUUUCCCGAAGUGUGUUAGAUUUUUAUUUUUUUGCUAGAUUAUUAGAAAUAAAAAAAUAUUGAGGGAGUAAAGUGUAGAUUUUAACAUAAGAGGGAAGAAAAAUGUAAUUCAAGCUUCUCUUAGGGGAGGGGAGUGAAAAAAAUUCUAAUAUAUUUUAAAUAAAAGGGGAGGGGAGUAUAUAUUUUAACAUAAGUGAGGAGAAAAUAAUUCAAGCAUCGGGAAGUGUAAUUUACUCUAAUUUUUAACAACAGUAUAUUUGGGUUUCCUCUUUAUACCCAUUGGCCCAAUAUUUACUGUUUGCAAUAAAUACUUCAGAAUGCUAAUAAUAUUAAGGAUAAUUAAUGAUUUGGUCCUUAAGUUGUUUGUUGAUUAUAUUUUGGUUCAAUAAGUUAUUAACGUUACAAUUUGGUCCUUUAAGUUAGUAUAUGUUAGCCAAAUAAAUCAUCACCAUCAAUCUUUUGCCAAAAUGUUAAAUAUGCACAUGAGAACAGUGACGCGACAACUUGCAAUGUAUAUCCACCAUAGACAUUGGCUUAACGGUUUUGACGGUGGAGAUUUAUUUGGUUGACGGAAGAUGACUUAAAUGGACUAAAUUAUAACGUUAAUAACUUAGGACUAAAAUGUAACCAGCAAAUAACUUAAGGGAUCACAUCAUUAAUUAAACCUAAUAUUAAAGGGGAUAUGAGAUUUUGGGUUGCCUUAUUUAUUAUCUCAAUUAUCCUUCUAAACAAACUUUCAUAAUAAUGUUUAUUGUUGUCAUUAGAAAAGAUAAAAAUUUAUAUUAUAUUUGUUGCAUUGAAAUACAUAAUCCUGGGUUUUAUGCUUGUUAUAAUUUAAAAGUCACAAACAUCUAUACUUACAUUUUAAUCAAAAUCAAAAUUUCAUAAAAAACAUAAUUCAUAAUUUACAAACAUUAACACAAUAAAAAGUGUGGAAUAACAGACACAUUAAUGCCGGUCUUUUCGCUAGUAAAGCAUAACAUUUUUCUUCAACUUCACUUCCUCUACUUUCCUCAACAACAAUGACCAACAAACAAAAAUUGAAACAGCAAGAAAUGCAAGAAUAUCCGACUAAUCAUAUGGCAAUUAGAUAAACAAAGUCUGACUCUCCAAAAGAAACAGACAGUAUCAUAAUGAAUCUAAAUACGGGUUUAAAAUCCAACAAGAAUACAAAUCCUGAAGUUAAAACUUAGAAUCAACAAAGAUGAGUCCAAUCAGAGUAUUUUUCCCCUUCAAAACUCAAACCUUCCUCAUUGUAGUCUAUUAUAAACUUGGGAGAGUUGUCCAGAAUAGAAGUAGAGGGCACAAAAGACACCAGAGAAAGCACACUUCAAUUUUAACCUAAGAUGCACCUGGACCUUAAUGUACACAGACAAGCCAGCGAAUUUUUCCGUGAUGUUACAAUUAUAUCCUACAAUGCUGUGCAAGAUAUCUUGAUUCAUGUCAGUCAACAAGUAGCAACAACUUGACAUUCGCCAUGAUACUGAAGAUACCUUGUACCAUAAUCAUUUUCAGACGGAGAAAUUCAGAAGAUAUGAAGCCUUAUGACGAACCUGAAACAGAUUAUAGCUCUAUGUCAAAUCACAUUGUAACCAAAUAAUAACUGAUUAAAAAUAAGAAAAGAAUUCCAUUCACCUCUGACGCAUAAGAUCGUAGGUCAGUUGGUGAAAUAAAGGUAGAACAAUUUCUAAGAAAAGAACAGAACAUCUCAUGGAUUACUUCAUUGUCUUCAACAGAGUUGUUGGACAAAAUCCAAUUCUUUGCCAAGACCAAGUGAAUGUAGAGUUUGAAGAAAUCACAGCUUUUGUGUUUCAAGUUAAUUGCAUCAAGUGAUUUGAGGAUCUCUUCUCCAUUGUUGGCCUGAAGAAAAUGAUAUAAAUGUAACUUAUUUAAGCCUGAGGAAAACAAUAUCUAUGUAACUUACUUAAGCAAAUCACGAUAGCAAUCACAGAUACUACUGCAAUUAAAUUUGGUGUUCAUAGCUAACUUGUUUGAAAGAAUUUUCUCACGGCAUUUUGUCAUUAAAGAAUAUAUCUAUAUUAUAGGGCACUAAAACAGGACUAUAUUCUAAAUAGCAUAAUACAUAGAACUAACGACCAUAAAAAUAUUAAGAGGCAAAGGCUAUUAAAUAUGGACCACUUUUAUAAGUGGUCCAAGGUGCACAAGCAAUAUUAACCCUUAGACAGUGUGGUCCAUGGCGGAGAGCCAAAAUCCCGCCAUACCGGCCGCUUUGUGGUGCCGUCAUAACGGAUUGUGGCAAAAAAAACCGCAAUAUCGGCCGAUAUUUACCAUUGUGGCGACCGAUUUUCGAUAACACUGCCCUUAGAUCUACAUUUUAUAGUGAUACUGUGUACGCUCUGCACUCGAUUUUUUUUUCUUCUGUGAGCAGACAAUGUCAUCCUCUUCCUUGCUGGCUUCUCCCUUACUAGUGACAUGACUCUUGCCCCGAGUUUCUUGACGAGCAGAAACACAUUUCAGAUGUUCAACUUCAAGUCCUCCUAAUAAACACACCCUCAACUUGAUCCUUGCAGUGAAACACCUUUUUCGCUCUUUGGAUUCUCCAAGGAAUAUAAUAAAAGCAGCUGAAGUCUUCUCUCACAAGAUGGAGUUGACUACAGGGAUCAAACAACAUUGUAAUGUCCUUUCAAGAAUGUCUACGUACCGAUAGAUUAUAUAAAUCGUAAGUUGUCAUGGUGAUUUAACCUGUAGUUUCCUCGAUCUCCCCUCAAUCUUGAAGUAAUGGACUAUCCUUUACAAUUCUUACUAGUGCUUGCUUUUCCAGGUCUUCUCCAAACAUGUAAGCAUUAUCUCCACACAUUUUAAAAUUACCUGAGAUGAGACUAUCUCUAAUGACUUCAUUCUAAAUACUAUUUUGUAUAGUUACUCAUUCAUCACAGCAUUUGAUCUCUACAACACUAAAUUUCUUGCUGGCUCAUACAACAUCGUAAGUCUUAUAGCUAUGAAAGCGGUACUUUUCUAUCACAAAUCAGAUCACAACCGAAGCAUUUUAAUAUCUCAUCCACUGUGCUUGAAUCCUAUGGUUGAUAUUAAGGGCUUAUUAGAAACAUCAUGUGAUACAAAAUUAAUAUCUCAUCCACUGUGCUUGAACACUAUGGUUGAAAUUAAGGACUUAUUAGAAAUAUCAUGUGAUACAAAAGUUUCAACACCAAAUAUAAUUUAGUGUUCUUUGUCGAUGCCAAGAAUUGAACUGCGAAAAAAGAGCUGACAACAUUCCGCAUAUAGGUCAGAAAAAUUUCAGCAACAAAGCAGCCCUUUUUAAAAUAAGAAUAACAACUACAUUUAACACACUGAUGAAUUGAAAUAAAGUACUUUUCAAACUUUUUUUUUGAACAAGAGUACUUUUCAAACAUUACAAAUGAAGAAUGCUUGGAUUUUCAUCAAUAAAAAUUUGAGAGUGGAUGUUAGGACUUCGUAUGAGAGGGUGUUAUCAGUAGGUAGUUAAUUAGGUUUAAGUAGAUUUAUAGCAAGAGGCCCAUUAGGAUUUAAUAAUAAGAGGCCCAUUAGGGUUAUAUAUUUUAAAGAGUCCCACAUCGGACAAAAGAUGGCCAAAACAUGUGUUUAUAAGUGGGGAAAAUCCUCACCUCACAAACCGGUUUUGCGAAGUUAUGUUAGGCACAACCACAAAUUCUAAGAUAGUAUUAGAGCCUCUCCAAGAUCCAAUGGGCCAUCUGCUAAUAAUCUACUUGAACCUAAUUAAGUACCUACUAAUUACUUAAAAUACCCUCUCAUACUAAGUCCUAACAGUGGAUUUUCGGUGUUAAAUUUUUUGAUUUUAUCACAUGCAUGCUAAGUAACUUUCAACACAAACCAGACCUUCAUUUAACUUCAUAUGUGCACAACAAUAAAUAAACUUGAUGGAAGGGGAAAGUAUCAUACUCCGUCAAAACAAAAAAGCAUGGUUUGAUAGGCAAUGGCGCUCCUAAGUUGCCUACAACGAGAACUAUCUUCUGAAACACAUUCAACAGUCCGGAUGCAAUUCAAAUCCUCCGAGACUCUGCAGAUCCAAGACAACAAGAAUAAGAGAAAUGAAGCAAAGGUAGCUUAUAGCAAGAACAAUCAAUAGAAGUAAUAACCUGCAAGCAAUGAACUUCGCUACGUUCUCGCAGCUUGAGCACCAUUCUUGGUCAGUAAAAUAAUCAACAACUGCUUGCAAGCAGUCAUAUAAAAGCACCAACAACCCCUGGAACCGGCGAUCUAGGAACAUACAUAUAAUAAUUUCAACUAUCUCUUCAGCUUCAAUAGUAGAGAGGAUAGCUUUUUUACUCCUGUGAUUAGAAUCAAGAGGUAUGAGUUACCAAUAUCAUACUUUCAACAUUCUGCACUUGAUGAGUAAUCUUAUUGAUGCAACUUUAUAACUCAAAUGAUAACAGACAAAAGAUAAACAUGACAGAAAAAUCAUUUGGGUUAUAUAUGGUGUAGACUCUGUGCUGCUGCUUACUUUAUCCGGCAACAGUAAGUGACAAAUCUGAUCCAGGCUCUAAUAUUUUGGGGUGGACCUCCAUUGUUAGAAUCUAAAGACAAUGACAUAUAUUGUUCUUAGAAGCACAGUAGUAGAUAUAGCAAGAUAUUUGCAUUCCAAAUGAAAAAUAAUGCGAACAUCUCUAAAUUAAGUGUAAUUGAAAAGAAAAAAAAGAUAUUCAUGAAAUGGAAUAUAUUAGUGAAAACAUAGCAACAUAUCAGCUCUAGAGUACUGAAACUUAAUGUAUUCAAAUCUCUUAUGGAAAGAUACCUGAACUUUCAUGCGCAGCACUGGAUGAAAACUUAAAGAGAAACCCGUAAGUGUCAAGAGCACUUCUCAAAUCUUUGUACUCAGGAAACCAAUCAACUUUGACAGAAAAUUGAUCAGCCUGGUAAAGAAUGAACAUGAGUAGUAACAAAUUAAUAUUAUUAGAGAAUAAAGGCGUCGAGAUAAACAUGCCAGAUCAUCAUUUAUAUACAGUAAAUUUGCUCUAAGUUUAACAUUACAAACAAGUUUACCUCAUUUCCAGAAGAGAGAAUUUCACACCAAAAGUCGCUGGAAGAGUUCUGGAGCUCUUCUUUUGAUGAAUAUAACACUGAAAUAACAAAGCAAAACAGAUGUAUGACAAUCAUGCUCUCAUGCUCACAGCUAAUGUCAAUAUAAACAUGAAAGAAACCGUGCUUUUACUUACUUGAGUUAAAGGCCCAUAAAGCUACAGGUUUCUCAACAUGGCCGGAAAGAAAAGCUAAUUUUGAAAGCCAACCAUUGACUAGUAACCCUUCAAGAAAGCUAUCACCUGAAAGGACACACGGUAUCAAGUGAAUAACAACUUACAACAAAUAAGUUGGUUUCAUCCGAUAGGGUAUAUAAGCAGUGUCCUGAUAUAAUAGAAUGUUUGGAUUGACUUAUUUGAGUUUACCUACAGGCAUGAAACUUGUGAGACUGUUUGGGAGAGGUUAUGGAAACAGCUUAUGACACGUUCAUAAGCUGUUUUCAGUGUAUUUUCAUAUGCUCUUCAGGAUAGCUUAUGAAAACAGUUUAACUAUAAUUUAUCUUUUGUUAAUAGAAAUAACUUAUACACAAACACUUGAAUGAUAAGCGUCUAUGCUAUAAGCACUUCAUUAAGUUGUUUACCCAAAAAGGGAUUAAAUAUGGCUUAAUUUAGUGCACUUUUUGCAAUAUUAAAGAUAGAUGGUUUAUUAUAAAUUGAAAAACACAGAAAAAUGACAUUAUAGCUUCAAAAAUCAAAAACAUCAUAGCAACCUUUGUCAGCAGCCAACUCGACCACAGAAUUUAGUCUGUUGUUCAAAAAAGAUUGUAUAAAGUUACAACUUCCGAGGUCAGGAAAGUCCAAACGGGGAAAGGGUUUCUGCAGCACACAAAAUGAAAACAUUACUAAUAUGAAGUAUACAAACGAUUAAGAGAUAAAAACAACCGUAUACAUAGAGAACUACUGAGCAUUUGAUUUAGUAUAAUGACCUGUUCACCAAAAACUUCUACCCCCCAAACUGGAAUUUCAUUUUCUUCUCCAAAGGCUUUCAACUGGAUAAGAAUGGAAAGGUAAUCAGUAACAAUGUCAAUUACAAAAAUAAAAAACAAAUGUAAGAAAGGGUAAAAAGAAAGAAAAUAUUAUACCUGAUUGUGACAUUUCUCAACUAGCCUAUUCAAAUGAGCUUCCUUACGAUCUUCAUCAUCGUAUUUCUUCUUUUCAUUUGCCUUAGCCUUUUUCUUUGCCUGCUUCUUCUGCUUCUCUGCAAGCUUCUCCUGUUCUUUGUAGUGUUCAUUAAGAAGAUCAUCCAACCCAAUAACCUUCUUCCUGGUUCACAUAAAUUUUAAUUACUCGUUAGAACCUACGAAGCACUGACACAGACGCAUAUACAAGACACUCAAAAUCACUCACAAGUGUCAAACGCUUUCAAUCUGAAAUGUCAUUGCUACAUAAAUUAAAACUUGUUAUUUGAAUCACUUAUUUAAAUCAAAUAAAGGGAAGCCCAUUUAACGAAAAAACAUAGAUUCAACACAUGUCGGACACCAGACACACAUUCAAUUUGAAAUAUCCGCGCUACUACAUAAGUUAGAACUCAUUCUUUUAAUUAAAUGAAGUGAAACCCAUGUGAAAAAAACAUAGAUUUUGCAUAAAAGUUUAAAUUUUGGGAAACCCUAAAUCCGAAAAAGGGAAAAAUAACGGUAAAAAUUGAAAGUUGAAGGAGUACCGCUUCUUGUUGAUAGGAAGUGGUACGAGAAGGUCAUCUUGUAGCUCGAAAUCCAAAGGGUCAUCCAUGAGAGGAGAGUUUUGGUAACUGUGUAUGGAGGUUUCGAAAGUUGAAUCGUGUGAGAGAAGAGAAAAGCACCAAAAUGUGUCUUAACGUGUUUUGUUGGAGGGAAAAUCUUCUCCACAAUUCAAUCCUUUAUUUCAUGGAGCCCGGUUUUCAUGGUAAAAAUGAACUUUGAUAAAAUAUAAAUAUAAAUUACUACCUCCGUUCCUUUUUAUUAUCACAUUUUGACAUUUUACACAAACCAAGACAAUCAACAAUUGAUACUAUUUUUGAUGCAAUAAGCUAUACUUUUACUAUAAUGACCUUAUUUAUUUAAUAUCUCAUUGCAUAUAUUUCUCUCUCCGCAAUAAAUAACUAAAGAUAAUAUUGGUAAAACAACAUUUAAUGUUGCAUUGAACUUUGAAAGUGACAGUUAAAUAGGAACAAAAAUUUUCUCAAAAAGUGACACUUAAAAAGGAACUGAGGGAGUAUUUUUUUUGCUAAUUCUUCCAUCUUAUAUAGUAUAUAUAAUACAGUUGACUCUAUUACGCAUGUCAAUACAUAAUUUUGAGCUUGAAUAUUUUGAAUAAUACUUCCUCCGUUUCAAAAUGAGUGUCAUUGAGCCAAAAAAAUUUGUUUCAAAAUGAAUGUCACUUUACAUUUUCAAUACAACUUUAAUUUUUUUUCUUCCAACUUUUCUCUCACACAAUUUUCAAUGCAACUUUAAUUUUGUCUUUUUCUUAUAAAGUAAGGGCAGUUUAAUAAAAGCCUUAUAUCCAAUGAUUAUUUCAUUCCAUUCCUUAAUCUGUGUCAAAGCCUAAAGCGACACUCAUUUUGAAACGGAAAUAGUAUAUUAGAAAAAUUAUGAAAAUUUGAUAUUUUAAUAGUAUUUGUCGACACAAAUUCAACAUCUUAUAUGCCAUAAUUUGUCCUUGUAGGAAAAAUAUGGUCAAAAUAUGAGGUGAAUAGUGCAUAUUUUUAAAGUAAGUCGUUUAAAAUGGAACGGAGUAAGUAUUAUUUAUCCCAUCCUAUGUGUUACUCGUGCGCUCUAUUUUAUUCUAAAAAUACCCUUUAAAUUUAAUAAUUUAAAUGUAGUGUGGAUUAUAAAAUCUGAAAUGCUUGCGGACAGAACUGCAUGUCUUUGUUGAUUCAUCAUUAUAUAAGUUGUUUUGAUGGAAAGAUGAAUCGAGUAUUCUUUAUUGUUUGAUAAUCUUAUUUUUUUGAAAAAAAAAACACAAUGGACAAGUGGAGUUAGAGACGCCACUGUCCACUCUUCACUUACAUCCAAACAAAUCUGAUUGAGAGCUUUUUCCUGAUGCGCUCCUUUUUGAAACCCUUUUGUUCCACCUCCGUCCUUUCUCCACUUACAUCCAAACAAAUCUGAUCCGAUCUGAUGUAGCCCUUGACCUAAGUGGUGUACUCUGCCUUAGAAGCACCACCUGCACACCGCCGGCCCCGCCGUUGUGGGUGCUCUGAACUCUCACACGUACUCUAUGAAGAGAGAUGGUUCUGUAAACAUGCGUGAUUUUCAUUUGGAGAUCCGUUCGUCUGUGUUUAUGUUUAAUUGGGUAUGUUAUGGUCGUCGCCGCCGACGGCUAAAACGGUACUUAUAUUCGGUUUUAGCUCUGUUCUCAGAUCUGGUUGGUCCUUCGACGACUCUCUUGGCCGCUUUCAUGAUUUCGUGGUGGAGCAGGUUCAGUGGUGUUUGUUUCAUGCGUUUAAAGAUUCAGAUGGUUAAGCCAUAAAUGGCGUUGUUAGCUUGUUGUUGUUGAUCAACAUGAGUUGUUUGGUUUUGGAUUUGUUAUCGCGUUGGCGAUCGGGUUCACCACCAUUAUUGAUUUCAAAUCCGGUAUGUCCUUCGGUAGCUCUCUUGGCCUUCUUCAAUUCGUGGUGGUGCAGGUGCUAGUUUAUGGGUAAUGAGCUUCAUGUGUCAGAAGAUUCGGAUGGUUUUGGGCUCGAAAGGGCUGGUACAACUAUUGUGUUAUUGCAGGGGAUAUUAGUUCGUGAAUCCUUCUGUGUUGGCAGUUGAUUCAUACACUAUUCUUCAAAAAAAGUUUGGUUUGAUUAUAGGCAUGCCUAUCUUGGUUACUUUUGGUGUCGUCCAUGUGGUCAUUUCUUUGAUUUCGCUAAUUAUGAUCCAGAGUUGUUGAGUUCUGCAGGUUUCAAAGAUAUGGUGACACGUCGAUGCUAUUUGAAUAUUUGUCGCAGUUGUUGUGACUGACUUCAGACUGUUUUGGAAUCCUAGUCAUUCGUAUAAUUGACAUUGGACUAAUUGGACUUGAAAGAGUUGGUGUGCUUGUUGCCUUGCUGCAUGGAGUUGUUGGUUCUUGAACUAUGUUGUGUUGACAGUUAGUUCAUACUCCUGAUGGCUGACCUUUGUUUAAUCAGGAUUAACCAUUGGAGGUAUCAUUUGUGUGGUUUAAUAUGUUUGUAAUGCAUGUUUGGGUUGUCCUGCACUGUGUUUUUUUACUUGGUUAGGUCUAUGUCCCCCCAUGUUUUUUUCUUUUUUUUUUAAUAAUAUAUAUGAGCACUAGACACAAGAUUAAAGGUGUAGCUGAUUAAUCACCUAUUCUCUUUCUUGAUGUUUUUAUGCUCUGACCUUAUCUAAGAAAAAAACAAAAAAAAAAUGGAGUUAGAGAAAUAAUCUCUGUGACAAUUUUUCAUUCAAAGGGGCUCAAUAGAUGUUAUUGUCAUAUCCGCGCACAAGAAUGUCUCAUGUGAAAAUACUCUCUUGAAGGUCUUUCUCUGUGUGGAGGUUGGUGCAAAAUAGUCUCCACAUAAAAGAUCAUCUUAGACCAUUUACAAUGGAGUUGUUGAAAAAAAUAUCAACUAUUGAAUUGGUGCAAUGACAUAUUGAAAAGUAUAUGGAUUAUUUGAGGUUGAAUUUUUUCAACCGUUGAAUGAGGAGAUAGUGGGGGAGGGUGUGGGGUCUAAUUAUUUCAUAUUGGUUAAUUUAAUACAUCUGGCAAAAUGGUUGUUCUGAUUAUCAGAUUUUUAUCUCAUCAUAAUUAUCUGAGGUCAAUUAUUUCAUAGUAAAUUAAUUUUUAUUUUUUUUUCACCAAAAUUCUUUUUUUUUUGUCUAUAAAUAGAGAUUUGGUUCAUUUGAUUUGGACACAGAAAAAACAACAUUUUUCCCUCUAUUUUUUUUUAUUUAGCCUCAAAUAAACUCUUAUUUGUAGCUCUAAACAUCUUUUUAGUGAAAUAGAUCCCAACAAUAACUCUUUUAACACCCAAAAUUCUCCAUCAUUCUCUUAUUCUCUAUAAGGUGUGUUUUUUUUUAUUGUUUUGUAAUGAUGUUGGUUGCCAUGUGCAACUAAACCUCUUUGAUUAGGGUUUCAAGAUGAACUCAUUCUUAUCUGUUAAUUCAAUAAAUAAAGUUUUGUUUAUUCAGUUUCUGAUUGAAGUGUCUUAUUUAAUUUAUAUAUGUUCGUUUCUAUACUAUAUCUUAGAUGAAGAAUACUAGAAUUGACAACCGUAAUUAUGUCUGAUCAAGAUAGUAGUCAAUUGCUUAGUUUCUAAAUUAAAUUCUUGUAAUCGAAUCUAAGUAUGAAUUUAGAGUUAUGCUUCAUCUUUAAGGAACACCACAAUCGUAACUCGUUGAAUUGCGACGAUAUUAAAAUAAAACUUUCACUUAUAUAUCAUCGGGUCAUGUUCUACUUUCUUAAAUCCAAAGAGAGGUCAUCAACUAAUAAAUAACCGAGUUAAUUUCAACAAAGAUGGAAGGGAAUUCAAGGAUUCUUAAUCGCUGUUAAACUUCUGAAUCACAAAACCUAAUCUCGCAUUAUGCAUGACGAUUAAAACCAUGCCAACCACUUCAUCUCUUUAAAUUCUUUUAUUUCUAAUAAAUUCCGCUAAUUACCAAGUUGAACAACAAUCCUUGUGAAGACGAUAACUUACCUUUUUAUUAUUUGCGUACGAUUUGGUGCACAUGCGAAUUCCGUUCAUCUCUUCGAACAUCAGUCCAAUCACAGUUCAUCGCUUUCCGACAUCUUGAGCCAACCACAGUCCAAUCAUCCCUAUCCGCCCGAUUUGUGAAUCAUCCCUAUCCACCCGAUUUGUGCCACCAUAGUUGAAACUUUAUCCUUAUGGCCGAUGGUGAUUGCCCGUGUGAUUGCCCUAUGUAAUUCCUAUGGCCGCCGCCUCUCUCUACAUCUCAUGUAUCUCUCUUAUUUUCUGGUUUUUUUUAAGGAGAAAACUUAGGUACAAUUCGUUAGAUGCUUUUCGUAUGGUUCUUAACUAAAUUCACCAUGAUUUCCUCAAAUCCAUAAUUUUCUCGAAGUUUGUUAUAUCAAAAAAUAUGUAUUUUUAGUUAAGAACCAUACGAAAAGGGAAUUGUACUUCUCCUUUUUUUAAUUACCUAUAGAAGAAUAUACUUAUUAUAGUUUAAAAAUAAAAUAAAAAACGAUGAGAAUAAUUGAACACGCAUACAUGAGGUAAAAUGUAGCGAUCUUAUCACAACACGAAAAUGAGAAUUUGAUUUUUUAGGGGAGAUGGAUUCGUAUUUGUUCUUUACAUGAAAGAUCAAUCUUAUUAUAAAUAUAAUACCCUCUGAAAUUUUCAUUAAGAUAAACCACAAUGUAUAUUUCUUAAAAAAAAAAAAAAAGAUUACUUUAAUUUUAUUGUAGUGAUGCUCAAAAACCAAAAAGAAGGAUUUGUUUAAAAAUGAUGUUACAUUGAAACUUAUGAUAUAUAGAAUUAGGAAGUAUAAUCUCACGUGAACUAGUGACAUGAGCACCCACUCCAAGUAGCAAAGAGAACACAACAAUGAGUAAUGCAUCAUGAGAUUUGGCCAUUUAUAACCUAAGCACCACAUCGACCCCUUCAAAAUCAUUAUUGAAAUCGUGUUCCUAUUCUUCUUUUUUUGGAUACAAAAUUGUGUUAUUUCUAUAUCUUAUGUUUAUCCACUGUGCCGAAAUAAUAUGAUUCACCGUGCAAUCUAGAUGCCACCAAUAAAAAGAGGAAAUGAGUGUUCAAUUUUGACACUAAUAUACAGAUACGUGUUUAAAUAACUUUUAAUUUAUGGUCACUUAUUUAAACUUUUUAAAUCACCCAAAAAUAACUCUCACCUUUAUUUAAACUUUUUAAAUCACCCAAAAAUAAGUCUCACCUUUAACACAAUUCAUGAAUUACUUUUUUGGCCGUUGGUUGUUUACUUAAUCGAUAAGGGAAAAAGAAUUGUCAUGUAAAGAUCAAUAGAAGAAGAAAAAAAUUGAAAAGAACAAAACUUUUUCACGAUAUAAUGUUGUUGUAAAAGUUUUUACACAUAAACUACUCAAACUUAACAUUUGUAUAAUUUAUUUUUAGUUUUAAUCCUCCACUUUUCGAGAAAAGGGUUGGUAAUUAGUUGUCGAAUGAAAUGUAAGUAAAAUUUGAUCAAAAGAUUUACAUUUAUAAAUAAAAUUCAGAUUCUUCUCUAUUAAAAACUUAAAUUCAAUCACCUAGUCAUCAUUUUGUAUAAUUUUUAAAGUAAAAAGUUUCAUUAAAGUGGUCGAAUUUUUAUUUUUGAGAAGGACAAAGAAAACAUAUAUAUUAACAAUCAAAAUCAAGAAGCUUCAACACAAGAUGUGCCACAAGAAGCCUAACAAAGAAGCAGAGUACAACACAUAAAAAAAUUAGGAAAAAAAUCAAACUUAAACUAGCUAGGUAGCUGCACUUAAACAGUAAAUAGGAUUUUGCCUCCAUAAUUGAUAUUCAAAAUCGAGUAAAACAUAUUUCGACUUAAACCACCAAUAAAACCGAAGAUUUACUCUUUCACAUAGAAUCUGCAGAUUUUUCUCCUUCCGUUAAAAUACACAUCUGUUACGUUCCUUCCGGAUGACUCAAACAACCGAAAGCCAAAUUACAUUUAAAAAGCAUUAAACUCUACUGAAAACCCUUAAACUACCAAAUUGAUAUGCUCUAACACCCGACCAUUGAACGUAGUAUAGAAACCAAACCAACUGAAAAUACAGUGAUGAUGUAAAAAAUAUUUAAUUUAAUAGUACAUAUAAAUAUUUUUGUUUUCAAAAUUUUGCUUAAAAACCGAUUAAUCCAGUGAAAUUAAUCUCACCGUCUACUUGCAAGAGAUCCUUUUAAAACCAAAACAAAUUUGAAAAAUGAAAGAGAUUUUUUUUGAAGCAUACCCUCUCUAAAAAAUGAAGCAUGUUUAUAUGGCGGUCGACUUUAAUAUUGCUUUGCUAAUUAAUGACAUCCACGACAUUGGGAAAGUUUAAUGAUUAAGCAAUUAAUGAUGGGAACGUAGGCUAGACGCAUUUUUGGGUAGUUUUUGUGACUAGGAUUGGGUCAUGUAGUAGCUUCUUAAUCAAGUAAUCUAAACGUAUUUUGAAUGCUUAUCUGACCAAAACUCCUACCAAAUAAUUCCUCCAAUGACAUCAUAUAUUUCAGUUUUCACAUAGAAUGUCUUUGUUUGAUUUCAUUUCAGGUGACCCCAUACUAAUCCUAUUGCCUUUGACCUCAAGAUACAACCAAAUUGAUUUUUUUUUCAUCAACCAUUUAUUAUUAUUCUUUAUGAAUACGUAACAAACAUGUAUAAACCCACUUGGCUGCUGAAUAAAUAUGUGUCCCCGUGUACCAACUUUUUAUCAUAUAGUUUCUUUGAUCGGUUCAAAUAAUUGAUCUUAUCUUAAUAAUUCAAUUUGAGAAAUUCCACCAAUACCUAUUUUAUUUUCCCCAUUUUUAUGUGUUCGUAAAACAGAUAAAUACUAGUAUACACGAGACUUGUUAAUAUCAUACAUAAAAUCUAGCUCUAUGCUUCUCCUUUAAUUUCUUUUUUCCAACACUCACGUAUCACAAAAGCUACGGCCACUUUUCAUUGUGGCUACUACCUUUAACUUUUUUCUUUUGCUAAAUUACAUUUUUUGUCCCUUAAUUAUUUAGGUAGCAUCGCUUUGAUCUCUUAACUAAAAUUUGAUUUAUUUUGGUCCAUUAACUUCUAUCCGUUACACAUUUUGGUCAUUUCCGUUAAAUUUAAUUCAAAAACGUUAGGUUUUCUUCAUUUUUUUCUGGAUUUUUUUGGGAUUCGUGUUGUUGAAGGUUGAUGGAGAUGACAUGAAGAUGAAAAAGAUGAAGAAAACCUAACGUUUUUGAAUUAAAACUAAUGGAAAUGACCAAAAUGUGUAAUAAAGAGAAGUUAAGGGACCAAAAUAAAUCUAAUUUUAAUUAAGGGACCAAAAAUGCAAUUUAAUCUUUUUCUUUUUAUAUAGAUUCACGAAAUAAUAAUAGUCAUUCGAAAUUUACACAUACAAAAUAGAUCAUCAAUCCAAGCUUAAGCUCUAAUUAUAACAUCGGAUAUAAUUGUUUUUAUUAUUAUAUUUUAUAUUUAAUAUAUAAAAAAUAUGUAUCUAACUAGUUAAGUUGAGUUAAAUAAAUCCUUCAAAAAAAAAAGUUGAGUUAAAUAGAACAAACUCAUAAGUUAUAAAUUCGUAAAGUAUUUAUGUAAGUUUCUUCUAAUCUUUGAAUUUUGGUAUUAGGUGUCCUCUUAUUACUACAUUCAUUGUAACCAGCUUUUAAAACUUCUUUUGCAUGCAUGUUUUUAAUCUGGUAAUUACUUUGAAUGAAAGUGAUUUGAAUUUUCGAAUUGUAUCAGAAACUGAUUUCUUUGAUAAUUUCUUUUAUGAUUCUCAAGGACACUUUUAGUUACGUCAAAAUAGAAUUUGUCCUUGCUUCGAAUAUGUUGAUCUUACGAUUUUUUUAGAGUAAACUAGCUUAAGAAUUGAGUGCUCACCUUUAUAUAAUUGGUUUUUUCAAAAUUUGAUGAGAUUUUUGUUUGGUAUUAAAUUUUUGUUAGAAUACAAUCAAAAAUAAUCAAAAUAUUAGAUAGUAAUUAAUAAUUGUGUUUUGAAUAGGUCAAGAAAUGAUUAAAAAAGUGAUGUCACCGGUUCCUUUAGAAAUAGUUAAUUAAGGGGUCUAAACAUGCUCAACAAGGGGUGGUUAGUGAUGUAGUGGGAUGCCAUAAUACAAAUUUAGUAUUUUGUAUCAAUAAAAAAAAUGCCUAAGUACUACUCUUAGUUUAUUUAAUUAGAAACUCCAUUCUUUUUCCGGGAUUCGAACCUCAUACCUUGCAUAUAUUAUGUAUUAUCCAUACCAACUGAGCUAAACUCACGAGGACAAUCAGAAAUUAUAUUUACUAGAGGAGGGAAUUUCAGAUAGAUAUUAUUUAUUUUAAAACAAAGAAAAAAUUACCUUUAGUUCGGGUUUGAAACAACCAACUUGUACUUACAACUCAUAUGGUAAGAUAAUAUUUAAUAAUUUAAUAUAUUGAAGUGCGAGUUUAAACAUCCAACCAGAUUAUCUUUUGUGAUUGAAGAGUCAUGUCAGAUCUGAGCCACGGAUUUCCUACCGGUCCAUGCAGACAUGGACCCCUCCAAAUUGAAGUAAUUGAAUGAUAUUGCUUUUAUUUCUUUUAAUUGAAAAGUCUAUUAGGAUCCGUUCCCUACUCUUUGCAAUUCGCACUUAAUUUAUGUGAUUUUCGCCUUUUAGAUUUCUAAAACUAAUAUUUUUUUUUGGAAUACUUGACCCAAUCUCAUUAGUUGAAUUUAUUGAGAGUUUAUCUUCCUCAAGAAUUAUCGCCAGACAAUGGUUGUAAUUUUGGUCUUGAUGUCAUAACUUAUAGUUUGAUGCUGAUUGUUAACCCUAUUUAAGACAACCUUAUCUUCAAUGUGUGAUGAUAUGAUAAUAACACCAGAAAAUUUGGUUGAUGUAAGAGCUCACAACAACUCCAACACUGCGCACAUGAAUUGUGUGUUCUUGUUUUUUUGUUUGUUUGGCAAAGUGUUUUCUUUAGUUAUAGGCAAAAUUACACAAUUAGUCACGAUUUUAGGUAACAUUUUGGUCCUUUAUCUUUUUUUUGUCACGAUUUAGUCCUUUAUGUUAUAAAAUAACAACACAGUUAUCAUUUUUUAUGAAAAAAAUAAUCAAAAACUCCAAAAAAUUCAUCAAACUCGUAGGCAAACGUAAAUCUUCAUCAUACAAGCCUAGAAAAUCAAAUUUCUUUGAAAAAAAUCUCAUAAAAAAUGAUAAGAUAUUGUCAUUUUAUAAUAUAAAGGACUAAAUCGUAACAAAAAAAAGAUAAAGGAUGAAAGUGUUACCUAAAAUAAAGUUAAGGGACUAAUUGUGUAAUUUUGCCUUAAUUAUAUGAAUGAUAGUAUUAGGGAGAUUGAUUGGUACCAAAUACGGUUGGAACCUUGAGACUUCUAUUGGAUGUCAAAGAUUUUAAUGAUCAGGUGGGUUAACCAAAAUAAGUGAUUGAUUGUUUCUAAAAAGCUUAGAAAAAUUAUUUCAGUUUACCAGUCUACAGAUUUGAUUUGUAACAGUGAUAAAUUGAUCAAUUUGAUAAAAAAUGAUUUACAAUAAUGUAUUUUAAUUUUUUUAGAUAAUCAAUUACAGUACAUUUUUUAAUUAUGUAAAAAAAACAAUAUUUUCAUUAAUAUUAUAAAUACUAGCGAAAAUUAUGAACAAUUUUUUUUUUUUAUGAAAUUUUGAUUUUGAUUAAAAUUAAAAUAUAAAUGUUUGUUGCUUUCAAGUUAAAACAAACCAAACUAAUCAUGAUUAUUUAUUUCAAUAGUAUCAACAAUAUAACAAAAAUAUAAUCUCGACAUAAAUAUAAAUAUUAAAUAGAGAUAGUUCAAAGAAAUAUAUCUCUAUUUCAUAAGUUUGAUAGAAUCUUAUCAUAUCAUAUAUCCCGACAUAGUAUGAACCAACAUAGUGUGAUAAUAUUUAAGUCUCUUAAUUGCUUGGUUUAAUUUAUUCUUGAGCCGGUGUGUAUUGAAAAAUAUUCACGAAAAGAUGUUAAUUCUUUAAAUGAAUUUUAAUUAUCUUCAGAAUGUUAGUCUUUAGAGUUAAAGACAGAUGAUACAUUUUUAUCUAUCAAAAUAGACAUGGUACGAUGAUAUCACAUCUUGUAUUUUUUUAUGAAUAGAAAUUAAUCUUGAGAAUCUAAUUUUUUUCAACUUUAUAUUCGGCUCAAGGGACCAACUAAUUCGCAGAGUCAAAUUCCACCGUCCAGUUAUAGGAGAGCGGGGUCAAUUGGUGACAAGUUUAUUAAAUAUGGAGGUUUCAUGAUCCCUAAUUUGCAUGACCAUUAAAUUGUGUUUAGGUUGUUGCGGAUAACGUGAAUUACAAUAUUUGUUAUAUGAUUAGACCAUCUAUGAUAAUCUUUUGCUAAUUUGAAUGUUAUGUAUGCUUGUGUGGUUAAUAGAAUAUUCAAAUAUAUAUAUUUCGAUGCACAAAACUUUGUUUAUAAUAAUUAAUCUGACCAAUGCCGGAUAUAUGUACCGAUUAUAAAUAAAAGUUGGUAUAUUUAAAAGUAUUAAGUUGGUAUAUUUAACACUAAAAAUAAUAUAACCAGCCAAUUUUAAGCAAAAGAAUGAAAGUAAAAAUCGUUGAAGUAAUCUACAAACAAAGCUAAAGCUGCAUAUUACCGAGAGCCACACCAUUCACCAAGCUCAUUUCCGAUCCAUCACUACCUCAUUAAUCAUCAUCAUCCAUGUGACCUCCAAAAUAAUUCACCCCUCUAUGUAUCUGUAUUAUUUUCCCUUUCUUUUCCUUUUCUUAUUAAAAUGUCCACUCAAUAAUUAAAGAAUAAUCGAAAUUCGGAAUACUACAGACUAUAGUACAGUUCAUACACCCUGUAAUAAGAAAAUAAAAUAUAAAAUUUCAAAAGCCAUAACGAUUUUCCUUCCAAAACAUUAAUUUUUCUUCUUCUUUCACAUCAGUUUUCGAUCCACCAAAGAUGUACGAUUAAUCCAGUUCAUGCAUAGAGACAUGCGCACGGAUCAAAUAUUAUUCUCUCUGAAAAUCGAAUCCGAUAUUCUCCAGAUACAUCUUUGAAAUGAACUUCCUGCCCCUGUAGCUCAAACAACUUAGUUUUCAAAACAUUAAUUUAACCAAACCCCAUUUUGUCCAAAAUAAAAUACAAAAAUAGUACCCUAUUUGUUUAUCCUCUAUGCAAUAACGAAGUUCUAACCCACACCUUUCCCUUCAUUUCCUUCCUGUCACUGUUUCUUAGCUUCUACUUCUAAGCCAUACCAGACCAAGAAAACACCUUCUCAACCUCUCAACAUCCUUCACCUUCAAUCUCUUUCCCUUCACCUUCUUAUAGUUUUUUUUUUCAAUCAAUGAAAUGGAUCAGAAUCACAAGAAAAAACCCUCAAAAAACAAAGGAUACUAUGUUAAAAUGAAACUCAUGCAUAAACAUGGUAUUAGACCUCAACAACAAGAAAAAAACCAUUUUCAUAAAUAUUACAAAUGGAUUCUUUGGCUUUCUCUUUCUCUCUAUUUCUUCACUUCUUACCUCAUUAGCAACAACAACAAUCACAACCACAACAACAACAUAAAACAUCAUCAAAUAACAUCAACAAUAAAAUCACUUUCUCAAUCCUUAUCCAUCAAAAAAACAACAUCAUCACCUCAAACACUUCAAAAAACUAGUUUGAAAAACUUGAAAAUAUUUGUGUAUGAUCUUCCACCAAAAUACAACAAAAACUGGCUUAAAAACCCAAGAUGCAAAACUCAUUUAUUUGCUUCAGAAGUUGCUAUUCAUAGAGCUUUAUUAACAAGUGAUGUAAGAACUUUUGACCCAUAUGAAGCUGAUUUUUUCUUUGUACCAGUUUACGUUUCUUGUAACUUCAGCACCGUUAAUGGCUUCCCAGCAAUUGGUCAUGCACGUUCAUUGAUUUCUUCAGCAGUGAAACUCAUCUCCACCGAGUACCCUUUCUGGAACCGUAGCACAGGAUCAGACCAUGUCUUCGUAGCUUCACAUGAUUUCGGUUCUUGUUUCCACACCCUGGUAAAAACUAAAAACUAAAAAACCAACAACUUCAUGUUACAAAUGUUUUUUUUGAGUUUUUCUAAUGAUGAUUUUUUGUUUUUGUUUUUGGGUUUUGAAGGAGGACGUGGCAAUGAAAGAUGGGGUACCUGAAAUUAUGAAGAAUUCAAUUGUGUUACAAACUUUUGGUGUUACUUAUGAUCAUCCUUGUCAGAAAGUUGAACAUGUUGUGAUACCACCGUUUGUUUCGCCGGAAAGUGUACGGAAUACGUUGGAGAAUUUUCCGGUGAACGGACGGCGAGAUAUUUGGGUUUUCUUUCGUGGGAAAAUGGAGGUUCAUCCUAAGAACGUUAGUGGAAGGUUUUACAGCAAGUAAUCACACUUUAAUCUUUAAUCUCUCUAAUUAAUAUCUUAAUUUACAUGCUUAAAAUAUGCGGAGGAGGCGGAAGUUCGAACCCGCACACCCGCAGCUGCUAAACUAUUUGACAAAAAAAAAAAUAUCGAUAUUAUUAUUUAUACCUUUUUUAUAUGAGACAAAAUUAAUAUAGGACCAAUUUUUUCUGUCAUGUAGCCAAUGAACUAAUUUUCAUAUUAGAGACAAAUUUUUUUUUUUUUUUUUGAAGAUAUAAAAUGUUAAGAUAACUUUAAGUUUUUCUGUUUAUUAUUGUUUUUAGUGAUUUUCUAAUGAAUGCAUGUUUUGCCCUUGAAGGAAAGUGAGGACAGUGAUAUGGAAAAAAUUCAACGGUGACCGGAGGUUUUACCUACGGAGACAUAGGUUUGCCGGUUACCAGUCAGAAAUUGCACGUUCGGUGUUUUGUCUAUGUCCUUUAGGGUGGGCCCCAUGGAGUCCUAGACUGGUUGAAUCCGUUGCAUUAGGUUGUGUGCCGGUAAUCAUAGCAGACAGUAUCCGGUUACCAUUUUCCUCCGCCGUGAACUGGCCGGAGAUUUCAGUCACGGUGGCGGAGAAAGAUGUUUGGAGGCUGGGUGAGAUAUUAGAAAAAGUGGCUGCUACAAAUCUUAGCAUUAUUCAAAGAAAUUUGUGGGACCCACGUACAAGGAAAGCACUACUUUUCAAUAGUAGGGUCCAUGAAGGAGAUGCCACGUGGCAGGUCCUACAUUCUUUGAGUGAAAAGGUGGAUAGGUCUUAUAGGAGUUCAAGGGUUUCACGCCAAUUAGAAUUUGACACGUAAUGGGUAUGUAUUUGGUAUUAUUUUGAUUCUUCACACAGUAGAUUUUCACACACAUUGUGAUUAUUGCAUGGAGAAGAAUAAAUGAAAAAUUAGGAAAAUUAUUAGUGGUUUACAGCUGGAAAUUUUGUGGGUGAUGACAUUAAUGGGACCCACAGGAGUACUUCGAAGUAUAUUAAUGGUGACAUGGCUAGCAUUGAUUCGAUGUCCGUGCGGUUUGGAAAAGGAAAAGGAAAAGGAACUAUGAACUGAAUAGUUUGAGUAAUCAUCAUGCAAAUCUAAUGUAUGGUAGAUUUUGUAAAAUCAUUUUUGUUGUAAAUAAAUAUACUAUAGUGCUAUGAAUAUACAUAUACAUUUUUUGAAAUCAUAUGCUUUGAUGUUAUAUUUUGGAUCGAUAAAAAAAAUAAGAAUUGUGGGUAUAUUACAAGGUCAUUUGUACAUGCUAGAUGAAGUUAUAUUUUUGGACAUUACUAUUUUAUAGAUUUUAAUUUGUUACAGUAGCUCGAAAGUGGGUAAAGGUAAAUUGUGUCAGAUGGGUGAGAAAAAGUCUUGGGAAAAUGAAUAUAAAUGUGGGGAAAGGGGUGAGUGAAAUGAUUAAUGAGAAUGGAAGAUAGAUAGGGGAAGAAGAGGGAAAUAUGGGAAGUGGGGGUGUGGUUGUGUCAGGAACUUUAUUAUGGUAGUUUAAUUUGAAUGAGUAUCAUUGAAAGGUAAUGGGAUGUCAGUGGUCACGGAUACGGUAUGGGGUGUCAAAAUCAAUGUUGCCUUGGGGAGAAUCCAACCAUGCUAUGGUGUUAUCACACUCUUUCUUGUUAGUUCUGCAUGAUAAUAGUAGAAAUAGUAGAAAUUUUGCUCUUUUUCCUACACUUUUCGCUUGCAUCCUGUAGACUUAUCCAAAAUAUUCAUGUGUUAGUUAACCAACGUAAGUGUAAAUUAAUGUGUUAGUCAAUUAACUCUGCGCUAUUUAAGUAACACAUGUGUAAUGCUAAAAUUUCUUCAAAAAAACUAAAAUUUCUACAAAUAAAGUGAAAUUAAGUAGGGUAAUUAUCACUUACUUGAUAUUUUAGAAGAAAUUGGCUUUGAAUGGCGCAAAAAUGGUGAAAAUCGGAUAUGGGGGAAAAAUUCGAAGUUGGGAAGUUUAGGAAAUGAGGGAAAUGUGUUUCUGUUUUGCUGAAAUAUGACUCAAUUAACCUGCGCAAGUUAACUCACGGAGUGCUACUUAAGUCACGCAUAGGACUCAACGUGCGCAUGUUAAGUCACGCAGCGUGACUUAACUUGCGCAAGGGUAAUUUGGACAAUGCUGCAGGGCGCGAUCGUUUUGUGCUGGGUGAAGAGCAAAAUUCUAAUCGUAGGUUGGUUUUACACGGGAAAACCCAUAUACUUUAAAAUGAAUGACGUAGCGUAUCCACUGUGUAUCCUGCACCGAUACAUGUCUGAUAUUUCCCGAUACGUAUCUGGAGAGUAUCCAAAGAUUAAAUUAUUUAUUUUUUUUAAAAACAAUUAUCCGAUACUUUUUCAGAUACAUAUGGGAUACAAGCGAUAUACGGUGGAAAACCGAUAUGUGCGGGCUACCUGAUGUUUUCUAUUUAGGAUAUAUAUAUAUAUAUAUAUAUAUAUAUAUAUAUAUAUAUAUAUAUAUAUAUAUAAUUGACUAAUUGUUGCUUUCUUUAUUAUCAACAUUACUUACAUUUAUAUUUCUAUUGUUUUCGCUGUCUGUUUUGUGUCUCUUUGUUUGUUUGAGAAUGAUGCUAUUGUUGAUUGUUGUGUGAAGGCAAAUUCAUUGUUGUGCCUUAUCGUUUUUCUAUGUCUAUUUGGUCUAGAUUUUGUGCCAAUUUUUUUGCUUUUGAGUUUUAGUCCAUAUUUUGUAUUUUGAGUUUUAAUAUGUAGUUUAAAUUUAAUUUUUUAUUGAAGUAUCCCAGCCGUAUUGUAUCUUAAAUUUUAAAAUUUUCCCAUAUCAACGUAUCAGUUUCUAUUCGUAUUAUGUAUAUGGACUUCGUAAGUUUUACACUACUUAUUAUAUGAAGAAUAGUACAAUACCACUAACGAGGUCAAAUUAAAAACAAAAAUUUACACUUUAUUAACUUCAUUAUUUAUUUUUAUUUUUACAAAAUUACAAUAUGAUUGCUUAACUUCAUUCAUUUUAGAUGACAAUUUGAUUCCUUAUUUUUGUCAUGUCAUUUUUUUUUUAUCUUUUGACUUGUUGAACUUUUUAAUGAAAUUACGAGUUCAAAACAAAUGUCGAAUGAGCAGUAAAAAGUAAUUUUAUUCUGAUCUAUAUCAAUAAGGUGAUAUGCAAAAUUGUGCAAAUUUGAGUGGAACUAUACUUAUGAGUGAUAUCAUGGAAUUAUGGGGAAAAUAGAUUGAACUGAUACACAGAAAAGAGAUUCGAAUUAUUGAUAACUAAUUUGGUGUUAUGUCUGAGAGGUUGAUGAUGGAAGCAAUCUAUUUACUACGACGUGUGAUAUAGUGAUAUCAGAUGGAUAAAAUAUAUUUGCAUUUAGUUUUCCUUAAUUUAGAGAAAUCGUAUGAUAGAAUGCUUAGCGAGAUUUUGUGGAAAGCUCCACAGAAGAAAACAUUUAGGAUUUCUUAUAUUUGAGUUAUGAAUGAGUUCCAACUAAUAUUUGAGUGCAUGAAUGAGUUUCAACUAAUAUGAGGAUGCAAGAUGGGGCUAAUGACUAUUUCCAUAAGAGUAGGAUUACACCAAAGGUUAAUCAUAAGCACUUAUCCUUUUACUUUAGUUUUGGAUGUACUUACAUAACACAUCCAAGAGAUAACUUCCAAAUGUAUGUAUUUUGCAUAUGAUAUAGAGUAGAAAUUACUCUAUAACUUGAGAGUUUUUUUUUAUUUUAUUUCAAUGAGAGUGGUGCUCCUUUUAUAGGAGAGAAUACAACUAAUAACCUCUUUAAUUUAAGAAGUGAUAUAAUGAAAAAUAAACGACCAUUAAAAUAAAAUAAUAAUAAAAGGAAAUAAUAUAUAUAUAUAUAUAUAUAUAUAUAUAUAUAUAUAUCAACACUCUCAAUCAAGUUGGUGCAUAUAUGUUGUUUGUUGAUUUGAUGGCACAAAAGAUGAUUUUUUUUUACCUUGUAUGCCAAAAAAAUUUUAAAUAUGACCCCUAUCAGAUUUAUUUUUCGAAAUGACCCACUUUUUAUUUUUGUCCAUUUGUUUUUUGUCGUUUUCCUCAUUCAUGCCUUUUGAAACGGCGGGAAUGAGUCCCUCCCUGACCAUGCAGAUUUGACCUUUUUUUUAUUUUUUUUACCGUAGUUUGAAUUGGCGGGAAUGAAUAUUUGAUUUUUUUUUCUUUCCGUUUUUUGUUUUUUUUGGACAACAUUUGUUUAUUUAAAACACAAAUAAUAAUAAAUAAAGGCUCGUGGAGAGAUAAGUGUAACACUCCGUUUUCCCAACUUGAUUUUUUUUGCAUAAAUCAGAGUAAACAUUUAAAACAGGAUGUUACACUUCUUUCAAACAUAAAUAUAGUAAAAUUGCUAUUUAUUUCAAUCAUCUCAUGUCAUCAAUUUAAAUCUCAAUGCAACGGAAAACUUUUAAUUUAAACAUCGGAAUGGCACAACAACCUCAACUUAAACAACUUAUUAAAAUCCAGUCUUGGCAAAUCUUCAACAUAAACCAUAACAAUUACGUAACACAUGGAAAACAAGUAAAGAUUCUCACCCCGUUACGUAUCAGAGCGACCCUAAGACGACACGUGAGAGAGUCACUCACUUCAACAGCUAUCCUUGAUUAAUCUGCACGUUCCCACGUAGUAGGAACAUUCAAACAGAAGGGGUGAGAUUUCACAUUCAAUAAUAAUAAGCAUAUAUUUCAUCAAAUGCAUUUAACAACAUCGAGAUCAUCAAUUAAUAAUAAUAAUUCUUCAUAUAAUACUUCAUUAACAACUCAUUGAAAAAUGACAACUUAACGACAACGACAAUGCGACAUCAACCACUUCAACUCGACAAUGCAACUACAACUUCUUAAUCAUGCAUGUGGUACCAACCAGGGCAUCAAGCCCCCAACAUAUAGAGCAUAAAUAUACACAUAGAGCAUCAAACCCUCAACUUAAAGAGCAAAUAGGCUCACAGGGCAUCAAGCCCUCAACAUAAAGAGCAAAGGCUCACCGGACAUCAAGCCUUCAACUUUAAAAGAGUAUGCAUGGACUUAGCAACUUACAACUUAGACAACUUCAACAACUUAUAUGAAUCCAAUAUUUUGAAACAACAACUUACAACUUUGCAACUUAGACCAACACUUGCAACUUAACGAUAUUAAUAAUCAAUAACAGUAGAGACAACAACAUAAAACAACUUGCAACAUAGCAACAUUAAUAACAACAACUUGAAUGAUAUAAACAUCAAUAUUUUCUAUAUCAAACAUUUUCCACAUAAUAAAUGUAAUUGAAAAUAACCAACAACAUUGAUCAUUUAAAUUCAGACUCUCUGAAAGGCAAUACCUUUGUAAACAACUUCCACUCCUACCCCAAAGACCAACUCAUAACAUCAUGUGCGACAAAGAUCGUAAUAAUCCUAAACAAGGCUGACUGCCACUGAGUACUCGCGAGACGAGACACUCUACUCGCUAUGGCGAGCUCAGGAAAAAGGGGUACUCGCUAUGGCAAGUAAGCUACUCGCCAUGGCGAGCUAAAACUGAUGGCUCUCGGGAGUUUGACAUUUUUCACUCAAAAAUUCCAUUUUUAACUUCCCUAAGUCCAAACUUAAUCCAAAAACUUGCCUAAUCAUUUCUAAACAUGAUAAGGCUCUCAAAACCAUCUAAAACUUGACCCAAAACGUUAAUUCACAAAAUCAUGUUUUUCUCACUAGGUAACUCGCUAUGGCGAGCGAUUCACUCGCAAUGGCGAGCGACAUCUGGGCUCACUCGCGAGGCGAGGGGAAUUACUCGCAAGGCGAGCGAUGAGUUUCAUCACUCGUGAGGCGAGAAUAGCUACUCGCUAAGGCGAGUGAUGAAUGUCAGCACGGGAAGAAUGCAGUUUUUCUCAAAAACUCACCCAAAUCCAUGGUUCUAACCUUAACACUAAUUCUAAUCAUUGUUCUAUGAAUAGUCUAAGGUCUGGACACUAUUUCUACAUCAAUUCAACAGGUUCCUACCCUUAAUUAAUCAAUUCUCCAACUUUUAACAUAAUUCUCAAAUCCUCAAAACUACAACCUACCACUUGUUAAAUCCAAUUUUCAUAGUUAUAACACUUAGAAUUAGAGAAAGUUAGUCCCACCCUUACCUUAGGCUAAUCGAUCAAAAGCUUCUCCUCCUUGGUUCUUCUCUUCUCUUGGUUUCUCCCUUUUUCUCCAAAAACUUGUUUUACGUGAAAACUAUUUUGACGUUUGUUUCUCUUAUUUAUUUCCCCAACCCUCUUUAUCUUAUUUCCACUUAUUCCACUAAACUCUUCUAAAUUCCAAAACAGCCCCCCACAACUUAAUAUUAUUAUAUUUUCAAAUCUUAUUCUAUUAAUAAUAAAAUAAGUCACUUAAUAAAAACAACAACACACCACAUAAUCAUUUAAAUCACAUAAAUCAUAUAAACAGACUCUAAAUCCAAUAAAAUAAUCAAAUAAUUAAAUAGGGCAUUACAAUAAGCAUCAUCGUCAAGUCCAAAAAUUGGAACCAACAUCAUCAAUUAGUACUUCACGACGUUCGGUAUAACCAUGAGGUUUAUCCAAAUCGUCAAUAUUUUGCAUGGUAUUGAUAAUUUUUCCGAAAUCAUUUGUGGCUUUCUAGAGAAGUAUUAUUGACAAACCCAAGGCAAGCAUGUGCAAGAAUUUUACCACGAUUGUCGCGUGACUAUCCUGCAGCGCCAGAAACCUAUACGGUGCCAGAUGAAAAUGUGUGGUCAAAUACACCUCCACCCUACAACAAAUUCAUGACACCUCCACCCACUAACUUUGACCAAAGCUUUAACCCAUCCACCAACUACAACUACAACCAAACAUACCAAUCACUGCCACAACCCACAAACCAAAUCUUACAUAACACCCCAAUCCCAUAUCCAAGCUAUUCUCAACAAAGUCAUCAUGGAGAAAGCUCCUGAACAUCAAACUAUUCAUUUGAUGACUUUAAUCCAACUCAGUACACCACACAAACUAGUUACCCAGACCAAUCACAAUACUCCUCGUUCAACCUACCCACCCCUCCACACAUCGUAAACUAUCCUCAAACAAACUACGCACCUCAAUGACCAAAUUCACGAACUAAUACCAUACAAAAUCUGGCAGCAGGGUUUAAUGACGAUGACUUCUUUAAUGAAAUCUGGACCAACUCAGCUCAACAAGUGCAAAAUGAAGUCACUAUAAAAACUAAUGAUGAUGCUGAAAUUCCUGACGAGGAUGUGGAACAGGAAGAGCACGAGGAAGAGGAAGAGCAAAAUCAACGACCUGUACGAACUAAAAAAGAUAAAUUAUGUGCUACGGGAGGUCAUAAUUUACAUUGGCGUAAAUGGAUGAUGUGGAGAAAGUAAUUUUUGUUUUUAUUUCGUUUGAAUAAAAUAAUUAGUGUUUUUUUAAAUUAAUAUUGAUUAUCAUUAUUUAUUUAUUAUUAUUUGUGCUUUAAAUAAACAAAUGUUGUCAAAUAAAAAACAAAAAAACGGAAAAAAUCAAAUAUUCAUUCCCGCCAAUUCAAACGGCGUUAAUGAAAAAAAAAUUAAAAAUAAGUUAAACCUGUAUGGCCAGUCAUGAUUUGACAUGUGUCAGGGAGGGGGCUGAAACAGCGGGAAUGAGAAAAACGACAAGAAAAAAAUGGACAAAAUAGAAAGUGGGUCAUUUUGGGAAAUAAAUAUGAUAGGUCAGAUUUGGAUUUUUUUUGAUAUACAGGGUCAACAAAAAUUUCACAAAAUGUAGACAUAGUAUUCCAAAAUCUAUUUUCAUUUUGGGAAAUAAAUCUGAUAGGGUCAGAUUUGGACUUUUUUUUGGCAUACAGGGGGGUCAAAAAAAAAUUCACAAAAUGUAGACAUAGUAUUCCAAAAUCUAUUUUCUCUUUUAUAAAGUGACGAUAGAUUUCAAUAUACUUUAUUCGAUCAUGUUAAACUGGAUUAUGGACUAUACUUAUUGCAGCCUUGUUGUCACAAAAUAAUUUCAUGAUAGUUUACAUCUCAUCCCAUGUACCAAUUUGCCUCUCGCUAUUGCAUAAUCAGUGACUUCAACAACAACUAAUUUAACCUUAUUUUCAUCAUAAUAAUUAUGACAAUCAAACACAUGUUCAAGCUUUUUCUCACACCCUAAAUAUAACUCAAAAUCAUUCUUACCUUUGAAUGCGGGAAUCGUCAUCUUAAUGCUUCCGAAAUGGUUAUAUCUUCUUGAUCCAACUCUAUGCAUCCUAUCAUUACUCUUUCCAUCUGAAUACUCCUCUUAUUUUGAACUUGAAUGUCUUUGACUAUUUUUGAUGAAAUUAUGUGUGUUUUUUAUAAUACUCUUAACUAUUUAUUAUUUCAUUCUAUUUUUUUUUUCUCUCUACAAUAAAUAUGUAAGAGUAUUAUUGUCAAGACAAUAAUUAAUGUUGCAUUGAAAUUUGAAAGCGAUAAGUAUUGUGAAACAAAAUUAUUCUCUAAAAUGAACAAGUAUUAUGAAACGGAGGGAGUGACUUUUAAGUAAGAUUCUUUGGAUUGAUUCUACACAACUAGACGCAUCAAGGGUUGAUUAAUAACUUUGGGGAAAGAAACAACAAGGAACGAUAGGUAAAUAAUUAAUAAAAUGAGAUGAAAAUAUAUAAUUUCUAAAACUGGAUCCAAAUUCAGGGAAAUGGAUUCGUUGAAUUCAUGUGUUUGAACAAUGAAAGGAACUUUGGUGAAUGAACAACAAGGAAAUAUAUUGGUGAAUUAAAAUAAAGUAGUAAUAAAGCUUCAAGGAUUGGAAUAAUGAAAGAAAUGGAUGAAUACCUUUGCUUUUUACCCAAUUUUUUUUCUUCUGAAGUUUUUUUUUUUAUCUUUUGUUUUUUUGUUUAUAUUUAGUUUUCUGAACUGAUUUUUUUAGAGCAAAAUAAGAUAAUCUAAGAUAGAUAACAUUUAAUUUCAAGAGCCGAAACUUUGAUCUGAACUGAUAAAUGACCAAUUAGAAUCGUCUUAAAAAAAUGCAAGGAAUUUGACGCUAACCACGACCUACCAGUUAAACCAAAGUUAUUAAACAAAAGUGGAACUCUAAUCAAGACCUGCCCAUAGAACCAAACCAACAGUAUAUAUUCCUUACAUGUCAUUUUGCUCUUAAUUCAGCAACAAAAUAAAAAGGACACGAAAGAGAGAUGAAGUGCAUGACCUAGCUAACACAACUAUCACUUAAAUCACGAAUAGGGAGAAUUUGAGACUAUAAAUAUUUAUCAAUUCUCUAUUAUUUUCUAGAAAUUGCUACCAUUCCCUAUUAGCUUAUUUGUUUUUACAUUCAUACAGACUGAGGCUUUUUUAUCGGCACUCUUGGCCUUUUCAAGUCACCUUUGUAUAUUAUUUUCCUUUGCUAAAUCCAUUUGAGCCUAAUUAACCUGGACUUUUUUUUUUUAUAUCAUAUUAACCUUCUUUAGAGUUAGGUAGAAGCAUUAAUUUCCUUGUCAUGAUUUGAUAUUAAAUUUGGGGUUGCUUCUAAAAUUAGUAACAUUCUAAGAUUGGGGUAGACGUACUAGAGAAAUAAAACACACAUAAAAAAAUGUCUCUUAUAAAACUAAAACAAAGAGCCAUUAAUCUCACAAAGCAUGACUUCUUUAAACAAAAAAUUAAGAGAAAUAAAAAUAAAAUAUUUCUCUUAGUGCCAGAUUAGAAUGGCAGGAUCUUUUAGUAAUUGUUGGUUUCCUAAGAAGGAAAAAGUAGUAGUAUACAACUCGAAUUUAGCCUACUUUUCUUAAAAUGUCUCACCUGUUCUUAAGUCACGUUAUAACCCAUAAAGUCUUUAAAAUUGUAUAUUUUUUACCAACUUUGAAUAGUUGUUUAGAAUGUUUUCAAACCUCUGGUUAAAUGACAUGUACAAGUUGACCAAAUGGUAUCCCUAUUCAAUAAUGAAAGAAUAUGUGAACUUGAGCGAAAAAAAAUUAUGUUUAGUUAGCAUCUCUAUAAUCAUUUUCUUGGAUCUAUAUGGAUUAAAGUUGUAAGAGAGAAGGUAUUUUAUGGACAUGACUAUGGAGGUUAAACCGGUAGUUCGAUUGUAGGGUGAGGUAAAAGAUUUUUGGAAUUUUUAUCAUUAAAGAAACUUUUUUUAUUGUACUACAUAAUUUUAUUUUGAAACUAAGAGCCUUGAGAACAAGCAACAGUUCAAAUUUAGGGUUGUUAUGACACUCAGUUAUAUAAUAUUUUUAGACACUUUUUGAGGCUUUUCGGUAACAAAAUGAACAAUUCAUUCUCAAGAGCUAAUAUUGUGAAAAAGACCUUGAAACCAUGCAAAAUAACCUUAAACAGACAACUUUACGGUCAAGUAUUAUAUUUUACAAGACAUGUCAAGUGACUCUUGAGGUACAGUCAUUACAAACAUUUCACUAAAAGAAAUGAGACAAGGAACAAAGAAAACCAAAAGAGCAAGUUUUUGCCUCAUGCACGUUACACAAGAGAAGCCUACCUGUAACGCAUGAUAAGGAUCCACUGUCUCAUGUGUAUUACACACUAGGGAAUGGCGUCGCCCUAGGCUAUUAUUGAAAUUGUGGAUCACAAUUCAUUUUAAUAACCAGCACCCGUAACAUAAUUGGGUUGGAUUUAUUUAUUUAUUUAUUUUUUUUACGGAAAAGACGUAGAAGGUGAUAUUGAAAGGUGGAGGUUGUGGAAUUGUAGCACCCAGGCUGAUGAGAACGGAGAGUGGUCGCCGAUGCACAAGGCACGAUAAUGAGCGGCUCCCGACAACUUAUAGACGAAUCGAAUCACACCGGAAUGAGAGGGAUCCCGAGGUCGUGCAUGUAUGAGACUGCAUGGUUGAAGGAAGACUAAUAAUAAUUAUUUGGUACUACAUAUAUCAACAAGAUGCAUCUUCUUUCCGGUAGCUCAUUCUAAAAGUACUCCACAAUUAAGCGUGCUUGACUUGGAGUAGUCUUUGGAGGGGUGACCUACCGGAAAGUUUCUCGGUAAGCGUGCGAGUGGGGACAAAACACACUGAAAAGACUCGUGUUAGUUUGUUGGGUCAGUCCACAAUGCUUAAAGUCGUCUGGGAUGUUACAAAUGGUAUCAGAGCAGACCUCUCCCAGUACUGUGUGGUUCGGGGAUGAACCUAGUGGAAGCUAGUCGGCAUGUAACACCCAAGUUGAUGAGGGCGGGGAGUGGUCGCCGGUGCAGAAGGCACGACAAUGAGCGGCUCCCGACAAAUUAUAGACGAACCGAAUCACACCAGAAUGGAAAUCCCGAGGCCGUGCAGGUAUGGGACUGCAUGGUUGAAGGAAGACUUAUAAGAAUUGUUUGGUGCUACCUAUAUCAACAAGAUACAUUUUUUUGGUAGUCCAUUCCAUAAGAACUUCACAGUUAAGCGUGCUUGACUUGAAGUAGUCUUUGGAUGGGUGACCUACCGGGAAGUUUACCGGUAAACGUGCGAGUGAGGACAAAACACACUGAAAAAAUUCGUGUUGGUUUGUAGGCUUAGUCGGCAAUGCUUAAAGUCAUCUGGGAUGUUACAGGAAUUCACUUGGAAACAAGUUCUUUUAGAUUAGGUGAAGAAGAAGAUCUUCUCUUUACGUACUUGAACAUGUAAUUGUUAAGUAUCUUUGAAUACAGUUCUAAGAUUAGUUUAUUCAGUUAGUAUUUAUUCUUAGUACAUUGUAUAUGUUUAUGAAUAUCAUAAACUUAUUUAGGUUUUGAAUUAUUGUUGACCCUAGCUUUUGAGGCUCGACCUAAUAUUAGCUAUUCAAAUGGUAGUAACUUUAGGGAUAUUCUAUCACCAUAGCAUACUAAGUAUUAAUGUACGAUCAAACUUUCAAUUAUCAUGAACUCCUCUAAGAAAUUAGGAUGUUAUGAUUAGAGAAUAAACUUAUGCGACAAAUAAUUUCUCAUAACUAUUUUGUUAAUUCGUCGAUAUUCUAAGCGAACAAUUGUAGUAGGUGGACCCCAUUAUUUCAAGUGAUGAAAGAGGAAUGAAUCGAAACUAACCUUAUCAAUCUUAUACUUUUGUCAACCAAUUUAAUGCCUUGUACAUCCUGCCAACUCACACAUCUGAAGUAUAAAUAAUUUGUUUUAUUGAAAUAGAAACAACGCUUGUAGAGACAAACUUAUAAGUUUUACUAUUUGACGGAAAUUUAAUCUAAUUGCUAAAUUAACCAUCUUUGAGUACGAAAUAAAAUUAACAAAGAUGUAUUUUAAAAUUUUAACAGUUGUAAUACAUGUACAUGUACUCUAUUACGACGAUGUUAAAGAUUAAUUUUGUUAUCAAUUAUUAUUUUAAGUGUUCUUUGAAAAAUUUCUUAUUCUAAAUUCUUACUCUUAAUAUUCUAUAUCCAUUUUACAUCUAUGUCUCUGUCACUCUAUCCCUCCUCCGCCCCCUCUCAUAUAUAAUUUCUUUGUUUUUCGCAUCACAUGAGCACAUAAUGGGUAUAAAGAGGAAACCCAAAUUUACGGUUGAUAAAAAUUAGGCUUAAUCACAUCUAGGAUGUUUGCGGUGCGGUUUAGUUCGAUUUUGAGGUUAAAAGUCAUUCGAACUGCAAAAUAAAUAAAUAUGCAGUUUGGUUCGGUUUGGUUGACUUUUAAAAUUAAAUUCGAACCAAACCAACUCAAACCAAUGCGGUUUGGAUUGGAUUGGUUGGUGCGGUUUUUUUUAUAGAAUAUUUAUUUUUUGUUUUCAACAUUAAAAUCAAAUUAAAAAGCUAAAACACUACAUAUUUUCAACAAUGUUUUUAAAUUUAAUCCAACAUUACAAUUUUAUUUUCAUCCAACAGUGUCCCCAACUACGUAGACCAAAUUAAAAUGUGGACAAAAAGUAAUCAUAUUAUGUAAGAAAUGCAAAAGACUAAAUUUUUUAUCAUUCUCUAAGAGUUCAAGUAGUACAUAAAUACAUUUUUGAAACAAAAAGCAAAGAAGAAACUUAACAAGAGAAAAAACAUAUGUCAUUUUAUUAAAGUUUUCAUUAAGUUUAUACGAGUAUUGGUGUAAGUGACAUAUAUUUAAUUAGUGUUUUUCUUAUAUCGCGGUUUGGUUUGGUUUGGUUCGGUUGGUAAAAUCAAAACGCAAACCGAACAAAACCAUGCGGUUGAGUAAAAAAUUGAUCCGAAUACAUCCAAACUAAAUGCGAUUUCGGUUUGGAUUGAUUCGGUUUGUGGUUUUUCUAUUGGAUUGAUUCGGUUUUGAACACCCCUAAUCACAUCAAAGGCCCCUUAACUAAUUAUGGGAUUUCAUGUUGGCCCCCUUAUUAGUUUUUGUUCCAUUAUAGUCCUAUAAUUUACCUCCGUCUACCACUUAAAACCAUUCCGACAAUUUUAAAUGAAAAAAAACAUCAAGUUGCUUACAUGGACGUUGAGUUGGAAAGUGUGGGGGUUGGAGAUAAGGCUGUGAUGUGGCAUAUUUGAUUUUAGAGAGUUACGUAGAGAGAGAAACAAUUAUCUUCUUCUUCCUCUCUGCGAACUUGCGAGAAUGGAGAGAAGAAGCAAUGAUUUUGCCAACACAAAAGGGAUUGUUGUGCUAGUAGUAACAAAUCUUCAUCACCACCAACAAAAAGCAAUAUAUUUUCAGCCAUCAAGAUCUAGCAUUUCACAAGUGAAAGGUUUCGAAAACAGAGCACCACCUUAUGUUCUUGUUGAAGAAGAAACAACGAAGGAAGUGUUGUCAAAAACACCCAAAUGGAAGAAACCAAAUGAUCAAAUAUGCAAGCAUCACCAAUUAUCUUCAGGAAAUUGGCUUCUGGCUUCUUCUUCACUUACACAACAACAUUAGCUUUUUCAAUUUUCCCUUAUGGACAAUCAUGAUUAAUAUGUAUGGACUUGGCACUCUUAAAGCAGAUAAUCUCAACCUCCUUGCACUGGUUAGUGUACUGCCCUUUACCAUAUUUUCCACACCUGAUGGGUUUUAAUGCUUAAGACCCUCCAUCAACAUUCUCGCAAAUCAAUGUGACUCAAUGUACAAAGUGAUUUUAAGAAAAAGUGUUUAAUUUUAAAGAAUUAAUGAACAAUGAGUUUUUGAGACCUAGGGAGAAUAGAUGCAAAUGAUUCAAUAUUUUGGAAGUUAUGGGAAAGUGAAUAUAUAUAGAAAAGGAGGGUAAGUGCAAUUUUUCGUCCAAAAACAACUAUGUGAAUCGAUUCACUAAAUGACUGAAUCGAUUCAGUAGCUAAAAUACAAGAUUGAAAAGAAGAGGAAAGUUAUGAAGAUUAAUACGUAUCAUAUGAGUUUUGAGCAUAGUUUUAAAAAUUGGACCGGACGUUGACUCGACAAGGGCGUUGGGUCACUGGGUCAUUGAUUGACCUACUAAGUUACUGGUUGACUCGAUAAUAUGACCCGAUCUUUAUAAAAAAAAAAAAUUAUAAGUACUAAAAUUGUGUUUUUAUUAAAAAUAUAACAUUGCUCAUUCUUUAGAAAAAAUAUAACAUCGCACAUAACAUUGUUGCUUUUGUAAUUUUAUCAACAACAAAAAAAUUUGCUUUGUAAUUGAAAAAAUAAAAACAUUGCUUUGUGUUUUUUUUGGACACGGGUGUUAAUGUUGGGCUUAUCACAAACCCUAUAUCUAAUAGUUCCAACAACAUCAGCUGCUGCAGCCGCACAAGGGUUCAACUUUCUUUCUCUUUCUCAGUUUCUCUCUUACUACUUCUUCCUCUUCCUAUAUAAUGUGAUGCAGUUGCAAGAUCCUUCUCCCUUUCCACUGCGUGUUUCAGAUUCAAGUCCCUAAACCUUCGUUCUUUUCUCGGUUUUUUUAAAUGCUAAGUAUUGGACCGGUCCGGUUUUGUAAACCGUCUGAGUCAUCGGAUUUGACCGGUUUUUGCCGAGCUGUGCUAGUUUACACCGGUCUAAUCACAUGGCCGAUCCAAUGAAUAACUUGAACCGGACACCCCACUAGUUCGUGGUCCGACCGGUUGAAUCGGCCGAUCCGGUUUUUAUAACUAUGGUUUUGUGUCAAUUCAAAAUACCCAGAAAGAAGGUUGAUAUGACUCAAAAUAGUUUGAAACGAUUCAUGGCAAGUCAGAUUCAAACAUAUUUGAGGCGAUUCAAAAAUGAAUCGAUUCAGAAUUUUAUGAAACGAUUCACACAAAGUUAGAGACUGUGUGUGAUACAAUUCAGAUAAAACUGAGUCGAUUCAAAUAGAAGAAAACACAGUUUAGACAGUAGGAAUGAAAUUUUCUUGGGUCACAAGCAAGGAGGAACACAAUGAAUCAUUUAGUGCAAGGACACAUACAUUUCUUGGGUGCUUUAAUAAAUUCUAAGACAACCUAUCAAAGAAUCAACAUGCUAAACUAAUAAAUCUUAUUUGAUCAAGACUUAGAAUAACAUCAUCAAAAACCACUUAUAGUUAGAGGCUUCAGAGAAUAGAGUAUUUGACGGGAAAAGUCGCGAGCGAGAAGGUCGGAGCAGUCCUUGGCGAAAAGGAAUGUUGGGUCGGCGAGGAUUGUUCAGAGGAGAGAUCAAAUGGGAAAUGGAGGAAUCAAGAAUUAGCCUCAUCAGAGAGACGCCGACGAAGUUAAUCCUCUCUCUACAAAUCUCUCUAAAAGAUCAAAUAUGCCACCUCAGAACCUUAUCUCCAACCCAUAUUGCCACUCAGCGUCCAUGUUAGAGUCUUAACAUUUUUUCAUUUAAAACCGACGGAACAAAUUUAAGUGGUGGACGGAGGUAAAUUAUAGGACCAUAAUGGAGCGAAAAUUAAUAAGGGGACCAACAUGAAAUCUCAUAAUUAGUUAAGGGACUAUUUGUGUAAUAAGCCUAAAAAUUAUUAUGAAAUCUAAGUAGUAUAAAAUAAAAUAAAAAUAAGUAGUCAUAAAAUCAAAUUUGUUUUUUUUAGGUGGUGACCGAGGUAAAUUAUUAAUUGGUUUGAUUUUUUAAAUACGAUUUGAAAAGAUUAAAAUAUGAUUCAUUUUAUGUUGACCGACGACCGAAGACUUUGAUUUCUUGACCGUAACAAUUUUUUAUUACAAAAAAUGUAUUAGAUGGUAUUAAUACAUAUUUAUAUUUUAUAGGAAAAAAGUACAAAUUUUAAGGAAAAUAUUAUAAAUACUAGGUGACAUCGUUAAUAACUUCAUAAAAUAUACAUGUCCUCAAUUAUGAUGAACAACAAACAAAUAUCGUCAUCACUCUCUCCAAAAUCCAUGAAUUUACCUGUUCACAACAAAAUAGCGGCCACACUCCCAGGUAUCUCCUCUGUCAUGGGAGGAGAUAAGAGAAUGGAAAGUGUCCAUCAAGCAACCUCCUCGAAAAAGCCAAGGGGUAGACCCAUUGGCUCAAAGAACAGGGCCAAAGCACCCAUCAUUGUCAACGAAAACAUUGACAACCUCAUGGAAUUGAUUUCCAUUAAGAUCCCUAAGGGGAAUGAUGUUGUGGAGACUCUCAUAAAUUUGUCUCUGUAUCGUCAAGCUGGAAUCACCGUGUUAAGUGCUUAUGGUCUUGUUUCUAAUGUGACGAUUCUGAAUCCGAUUUUCGGUGUCCCUAAUUUUCCAAUUGAAGGAACAUACCAAAUGACAUCUUUACAUGGCACUUACCUGAAAGCCACUCAUGGCCGCGUUCCUCCCCAAUUAAUUGCUGAGCCAACAUUUUCCUCUUUUUCCAUUUAUAUGAAGGCCAAUUAUGGCAAUUACGUGUUUGGUGGAAUCGUUGCGGGGAAGGUCAAGGCUGCUGGUGCUGUUUUCAUUACAGCCGCUCUUUUGAAAAAUCCAGAGUUUCAUAGGGUGGCUGUUUUCAAUGGCGGUGUCACCCGAACCAUUGAUGAUUUUGCGCCAAAUGUUGGUGUCAUGGGUCCUGAUUCGGCUCACCGGAAUCAGCAAAUGCUCCCUCUUCCUACUGAUGUGAAUGGCAUGCAUUGGGAUAUCUCCCCUAGCACUUGAUUGUUCGUCAUCAUAAUUUUUCGAGUCUUUUUAAUAUUGAAAUAAAUGAACUGUGUUUCACAUCGUAAUUUUCAGGUCUUUUUAAUGUUUGAAUAAAUGAACAAAAUUUCUGUUAUGUCUUAUUUGAAAAAAGAUUAAUAGCUGAAAUUUUUGUGUCACCAUUACAUGUUUUCAUCAUGUCGUUUAAUCUUCAUUUUAUUUCUUGUCAAUUUUCUUUUCGUUUUCGUGUUUUUGACAGUGAUAUACCAAAUAUUUUCAAUGUUUUUCAUAGUUGUUGAUUUCUAUAUGCUUGCAUUAAUAUUUUUCUAAAUAAAUUUAAAACAUGUAUCCCAAAUUGUUAUAUUGUAACACUCAAACUUAAAAAAAAAGGAUAAAAAAAUAAUAAAAUUUUAGUUAAAAAAAAUCGAAGUUUAAUUAUACUUAUGCAUAAUAUGAGACAAAAAAAAUAAAAAAUUAAAGACGACUGCAACAUGGAGAAAUUGUUGUAUUGUAUUAGUGUAUUUCCAAUUGCACUAGCUAGUUUCUUAAUAACAUUAUAGUACCUUAGAACAAUAAUAUGAAUACAUAACAUGAGAACAAACUAGCAAACUAAAAGCGCAUGAAACAACAAUAAUAACACCGGAGAAUAAUACACAACUGAAAUUAGCAAAUCAAACAAAUUGAAAUCAACAAAUCAAAACAUAGUUCCGUACAUAGAGAAAAUUAUUGUCUUUUCAACUACGUUUUUGGCUUUUCAAUUGAAGAGAAAAAUGCCAUAGUUUUUUUUAAGGGAAAAUGCCAGAAUGGAUUGGACAUCAUGGGCCAAGAGAAUGAUUUGGAUUCGGGCCGAUUUAUACGAUUUAAUAUAGAUAUCUCACUUAUUAAAACAAUUACUUUGAAUCAGUCAAAGUUAUACAUUGACAUAUGUGAAAAUGUUAACUACGAUAUGUAUUUUAUUUUGAAACAGAGAGAGUAGUUGCGUAAAAAAACGAUUUAGUUAGUUAGUGAAAAAACAAUUAUAUCCUUUUGCCAUUUUUUUUUCCUUUAAUUAAAGUUGUAAAUGACAUUUUUUUUCCUAUGCAUUUAAGUGGUUUUGUAAAACGGAUAAUUGAGUUUUCAGAAAUACUAACGAAAAUGAUAAUUUUUUUUAUAAAAAAUUGUGUAUUCAGUACAUUGAAAAUUGAAAUAUUUGACUUUUUUAACAAAUAAUUUUAUAAUUUGAAUUCCUUAAAGAGUGACUUGCAGCACUCGUUGAGUUUUUGGCAAAAGCAAGUGGGAGUAAGUUAGCAACACACACAUAGUGUCAACCAUAUGAUUCUCAAGGGAAAAUGACCUUGAUAAUUUGGAGUUCGACCGGAAGUAAAUAAAGUCUUACUAAUAAUUGUUCGAUUUAGGAAUUGAAUUCGGAUUCUUCUGAACAAUUCUUCAUUGACGAACCUCGUUAACUAAUUGAGCUCAAUUGUUUAGUUAUAAAAUAACAUUUAUUGUACCUAAAUGAUACAUUUUUUUUUUAUAGAGUAUUAAGGUGGUAUUUUAUAGUCACUUAAAAUAAGUUCACAUUCUUUUUAUCAUCGUAAAUAUUUUAACUUUCUGUUUUAGUCUUUUAAAAAAUUUCUUCUACUUUUAGUCAUUCAAAUUUUUUUCUUCAUCGCUGUUGGUCUAUAUUUUUAAAUCAACUCUUGUGUAUGAUUCAAAAUUUUGAAUAAGUUAUUUUCAGGAAUGUUUUGAAUAUUAAAAGAAUCUCAUACAAAAUAUAUAAGAAUGUUUUAACUAAACAUGUUUGGGGUUGUGAUGAUGGAAUAUCAUAUGAUAUUUUUAUUUAGGGUUAAUAUGUAUUUACCCCCUGUAAUUUAGGCGAGUUCCGGUUUAUCCCCUGUAAAAAAAAAAGUUUAGAUUCCAACCUUGUAAAAUAAGAUUCUUUGAUUUUAGUCGCUGACCUAUGUGACUGUGCAGAAUUGCUGACGUGGCGAGCUGAUUUGACAUGCUGACUGUGCAUAUCUGAUUAUGUGGCGUGAUGACUGUAUUUUUUUUAAAGGGUACACGUGGCAUUUGUAUUUUUUUAAAAAAGAUAAAAAUAAAUUAUGGAAAAAUUAUUAAAAAUAAAAAAUAAUGAAAAAAAUAAUUAAAAUGAAAAAACAAUUAUGAAAAAUAUAGAAAAUUUAAUAAAAAAAAAUCUGAAAAAAAUUUGGAAAAAGUUAAAAAAAAUUAAAAAUUCUGGUAAAAAUUUAUAUAUAUCAAAAUUUUCAAAAAAUAUAAAAAAAUUCUGAAUUAAAUUAAAAUUAUAAAAAAAUCGAAAAUAUAAUAUUAUAUAGUUAUUUUGAUUAUGAAAAUUUAUUUCUAGAAUUUUAUUUCAUUCGAAAAUAUAAUCUAGAUGAAUAACAAGAUACAAUGGAUUUUUAGGGAUGGCAAUGGGUACCCAAUGGAUAGGGUACUACAGUGCCCGUCCCCAUACCCGCAUUUAUAAAAAAUACUUGUACCCGUGCCCGUACCCUCGUGGGCAACAUUUUUAGUCCCCUUCCCCAUACCCUAUGGGUACCUAAGUGCCCAUACCCGCAUCCAUUACCCGCACUUUAACUAUGAAAAAAAAAAAAUAUCACAAAAGAAAUAAAACUACGAUCCCAAUUUUUUAAAAUUAACUCAUAAAAUAAUAUGAAUCGUGGUAUUUAGUCAAAUAGAUAACAUCCAAAAUAUCCCUAAAAAAUUAUACACCGGCAUGAUGGAGUUGUUAUUGUAUUAAGCAAUUGUUGGUUUAAAUUUGGGUUUAGGCUUAAAUAGCUAAAUAAAUUAAUUAAUUAUACAUAAAAUAUAAAUAAAUAAUUUAUGAUAUUAUAUAAAUAUGUAUAUGCGGGGUUGCGGGUCUGGGCAAUAUAGUAUCCUUACCCGUGCCCAUACCCAUUUAAUUUUGUGGGUAUUACCCGUACCCGUGCCCAGACCCAUAAAAGCGGGGUUUUACCCUAUCCAUUGUGGAUAUUUUUUGCGGGUACCCAUUGGGUCUGGGUCCAAUUGCCAUCCUAAUUUUGAUUGACACCGGUAUAUAAGUCAUGUUAUACUAUUGAAUAACAAGCCCUUAAUUCUAUUCUUCAUGAUCUAAUGUUAUUUUUUUUUUAAUUAUUGAAAUAUUUUCCAAUAUUUUUAUUUUUUGUAUAAAAAAUAAAAAAAACAAACUUUUUAAUUUCGAAAGAAAAAUCUGAACUUUUUUUUUAAAAAAUAAAAUGUAUUUUCUUAUUAUAUUCAUGAAUUUCGAAAUAUAUUAAGUUCCUGAAUUUUCCAGAAAUAUAAAUUUUUUGAAAUAUAUAUAUUUUUCUCAUAUUUUUAACUUUUUUCAGAUUUUUUUAUUAUUUUUUAAAAUUUUCUAGAACUUUUAAAAUUUUUAUUACUUUUUCCAAAUUUUUUUCAUUAUUUUUCAUUUUACCAGAUUCUUUUUCAUUUUUAUUAGAAUUUUCAGAUUAUUUUUUAUUUUAAUUAAUUUUUUCGUCAUUUUUUUUAUGUUUCAGAAUAUUUUUCAUUUUUAUUAAUUUUUCUAGAAUUUAUUUAAUUUUUUAUGUUUUUUUUAAAAAUCACAAAUGCCACGUGUACCCUUUAAAAAAAAAUAAAAAAUAAAAAUAAUUAUACAGUCAGCGUCCAUUACAGAUGUGUCAGGUUUCAAAAAAAAUUAAAAUUAAAAUAAUUACGCAGUGACGUGCCACAUCAGCGUCUAGAUGGGAUCAUAGGUGUUUUGUGGAGAAUCUUAAUAUUAUAGGGGUGUUUUGUAAAGAAUCUUCAUAUUAUAUGGAAUCUAAACUUUUAUUUUUACAGGGGAGUAAACCGGAACUCGCCCAAAUUACAGGGGGGUAAAUACAUAUUAACCCUUUUAUUUAUUUAUAAGUUUUUAGUUAUUUUCUUUGCAUUUGAAGGCAAAUUAGAAGUCAUUUAGAGGAGUUGUCAAUGGUUUGAGAAACCUUUUGUAUUAUUUUUAUUCGAGUCGUUGUAGUUCAAUUUUAUCACAAAUCAUCAAAUUCCAUAGGUGUUUUUGGUCUUUUUAGUGAAAAAUCAUGUAAAUUGGCAAAACAAGACACCAAGUGGAGGAUCGAAGUUAUGAGGAUUGAAUAUCAAUGGUUCUUAGAAGGUAAUCGAAGACAAUACAAAUUGAAUAAAAUUCAUUUCAAGUUCCAAGGCAUUGAAAGAUGGAAGAAUACUCAAAAAGGUACGAAAACUGCAAAAUUCGCACAAGAGCUGCUGCUUGAUGGGCCCCUGCGCCCAGGUUAUGCGCCCCUACGCAGGAAACAACAUUCAUUGCUGCCUCAUGCACCCCUGCGCCCCAGUUCAUGCGCCUUGCGCAUGGUAUACGAGCAAUGAGUGUGGAUUUCUUGUUAUUCAAGUUGUUUUUAUGGAAAAUGCCCAAUUUUCUUCUCUUAACCCCUAAGUAAUGAUCUACUAUAAAUAGAGACCCUUGUCCACUAUCUUAUUCAUUCAAAAAGCUAGCGAUACAAGGUAAGGGUCAAUCAUCAGAGCUUCAAGACAUAGGAUCUCCAUGCUCUUCUUAGAUGGCUGUUUCUAGAGUCUAAUUUAAUUUGUAUAUGUUCGUUUCUAUACCAUAUCUUAGAUGGAGCAUAUUAGGAUUGACAACCCUAAUUCCGUAUGAGCAAGACAGUUGUAAAGUGCUUAGUUUCUAAUUUAAAUUCUUUUAAUCGAAUCUAAGUAUGAAUUUAGGGCUAUGACUCAUCUUAAGGGAAUGGCGCAAUUGUAGUUGGUUGAAUUGUGACGAUAUUAUAAUAAAACUUCAUAUGGUUCAUCACUAUGUCAUGUUUUACUUUCUUAAUUCCGAAAUACAUGUCAUAAACUAAUAAUCAAUCGAGUUAAUUCCAACAAAGACGGAAGAGGGUAUUCAAGGAUUUCUUAACCGCUGUUAUACUUUUAAAUCACAAAACCUAAUCUCGCAUUAGGCAAGAUUAUUAAAACUCUGCAACCACUUUUAAUUACUUUCAAAUAAAUUCCUCUAAUCACCCAUUCAAACACCAAUACUAAUAAGUUAUAAGAAUGUGUAUAUUCUUGCUUAUCAUAAUUAUCAUUGUGACAAUUUCUUUGACCUUAAUGCUUCCAUAUUCAUAAAAAAAAUGUAUUUGACCUUAACAGCCUUUCUCCUUUAUGACUCGUUAUAUAUGCUCAUUUGUGUGUGAGAAUUUCACAAAAUAGCUCCAGCCCUUCAUUCUGUCAAACUAAAACUUCUACCAAUAAAUAAAAUAACACCAAUAAUCAACUAUAAUAAAUUUUAACCAAAAAAAUGACACCGGAAACAUAAACAUACAUGCACACUAGUUACCAAAUAACUAAACAUGAUACCAUAUACGCCUCAAUCAAUAAUUAAAAAUAAUAUCAUGAAAAUAAACUCGAACAACAAGCUCAAAAUGUAAAGGCUGAAUGAAAUUCAACAUAGUUUCAAAAUAUUUUAAAUUUCAUUGGCGAAUUAAACUAGGAUGUAUAGGGGGAAAAUAUUUCAAACUGACCCGGCAGUAAACCCGUCCCACCCGACCACCGUUUUUUUUUUUUUUUUUUUUUUUUUUUUUUUUAAACUGGGUUGCAUAAGAUAGACCAACUUGAUUGGUCGAGCUCAAAACUUCAAUUCGAUCCGCUUAAAAUAUUAAGCUAAACAUGACUGGUCGAUGAGUUUGCCACACCUAGUUGAAUAUCUACUUUCGACAAAUCAACUACAAUUCCCCCUUUUAAAAUCACAUGGCCGAGGAAACUUACUCGUACUUCGAUAUUUUAACAAACAUGUUCUUGUUCGUUUGAUCACUUGCAACGUUGUUCUGAAUGUGUUAAACCUAAAUCAUAGAACUUGACAAUUGUUAGCUCAAACCUUUAGUUUGCUUGGGUUUUGGUAUGUAGUUUUUUUUUCCUUUGCCUAGCUGGUUUUGACAGAGGUUCACAAUAAUUCUAAAAGACCACUGUGGGUAAGCCGUACAAAACCCGUUCUACGGGUGGUAAUUCUUCUUCUGAUCAAUGAUUGUUUUGUACUGGAAUAUCCGUGGUUUUGGUAACUCGGACACUAGAAUUGCCUUAAAAAAUAUUAUUUGUCUCAUAGGCUUGUGAUUAUUUUUUUGGCUAAAACGAUGAUUAGUUUUUGCAAGUUCCUUCAUGGUGUUGGCAUAUGCGUCGCUGGUCCCGGUUUUACUUCGCAAUCAGUGGCACAAUGCACGCUCUCUUGGUAUUUAGGUUAUAUCCUCUCACGUUUUCCGUGAAGCUAACGCUUAUGCUGACAGGUUGGCUUCUAGGGGUCACUCGGUUGAUGGUGCAGCUUGGUUGUCUAUUUUACCUUCUGAUUUUCAGCCGGAUUUUUGUUCGGACCGCUGUGGUUUGCCUAUGUUGAGAUUUCCGUAGGCGGUUGUUGUUAUUUUUUUAUUUUUUAUUUUUUUUCUAUUUCUAUUUCUAUUUCUUUUCUGUUUUUGUUUCUUGUUUUUCUUCAAGGGUUUUGGCCUAAUUCCCCCUCUUGUAUUUUCCCCUUUUUUUAAUAAUAUUUUGAGAUUGACGGUAGAGGAUGGGGCUUCAUCGGGGUGCCAACCUAGUUGGGAUGUCGUUGUAAUUUCCCCUUGAUGCAUGUCCUUUCUCCUGGUUUAGUGAGAGAAAAACAAAAACAUUGUAAUCAUACUCUGAACAUUUUGUGUUAUGUAAUUUUGACACUUCUUGUGCAUCUCACAAUGCUUAUUUCGUAAGUAAUAUUCUCCAUUUUGUUUUGUUAAAAAAAUAAAUUUGAUCAAGUAUUUAUCCCUGUAAAAGACAUGUACCUUGAAUAAGAUCCUCAUACUUAGAUGUUCCAGCUCUAGUCAAAGCAAGCAUCACCAAUUAUCUUCAGGAAAUUGGCUUCUGGCUUCUUCUUCACUCACACAACAACAUUAGCUUUUUCAAUUUUCCCUUAUGGACAAUCAUGACUAAUAUGUAUGGACAUCAUCUACAUCAUCUUCAUCCAUCUUAGAUCUCCUUCAGGAUCAAAGGAACCCUUAAAAGAUGCAAAGAAACUCCUUUCGAACUAAGCAAAAGUAGAGUAAGCAGGUUGUGUCGCAUGGCGAUUCAGAUAGCUUUUUACAAUUUAAGCAAGACAUGUGAUAGCAUUGUCACCAUUCUGAGUAUUUUUGCUAACCAUUUUGUGAUCGAACAAAGAGAGAGAUUGGGAAUAUCAUAGAAGAAAGGGUUUGAGAGAGAAUUGAAGAGAAUCAAAGUAUUUGUUUAUUAAUUGAAUGAAUUUCAUUACAUGUAACUACCUCAUAGUGAUCUAUAUUUAUACUACAAACAAAUGCUUAACAAACUUCAACAAAAUUUCUAACUAACUGAGUUUACUUGUUCAACAAGUAACUCCCUUAACUUCUAAUCUUGAACUAACUAACUAACCAACUGAAUUAUAACACCCUAACACACCUCCUAAUUCAUUAGUUAGUGACUUCAACCAUGCCUAACUUGUUCCUCAAGUAUUAAAAGCUUACCAUUGUUGACUUGAUCCCUAAGAAAAUGAAAAUGUGUCUCAGUGUGUUGGUUCUGCCAUGAGCCACUAUAUGCUUAGCCAUUUCAAUUACAUACUUGUUGUCAAUCAACAAUUCCAUUUUCUUAUCUUCCUUCAUAUUCAUCUCUAGCAUAAGCAUGCUGAUCCAUUGAGCUUGUCAAGCAGCCAUUGAGACUGCUAUAUACUAAGCCUCACUGGAAGAUAGGGCAACUAUUCUUCCUUCUUAGAACUCCAUGAUACCGCUGCAUUACCAUACUUAAACACAUAUGCCACGGUGCAUUUCCUGUCAUCUUUGUCUCCACUCCAAUCAUAACCAGAGUAGCCAAACACUUCAUAGUUUUGAUUGUUGUGAUUCUUAGUGUAUAUCAUACCAUAGUUGCAAGUAACCUUCACAUAUUUGAUGAUUCACUUAGGCUUUGUUUGCGAGUUUGGAGGGGAAGAGAGGGGAGGGGUUUGAAAAAAAAAGAAGGAAGGAGCAAGUGGAAGAAAUAGAUGACAUUGAGAGGGGAAUGUUUUGGAGGGUUCAUUUUUCUUCAUAAAACAAAACCCUCCUCAUUUGGGGUAACUUAAAAAUUGUAUUGGAUGAGAGUUUUGGGGAGUUUUGGAGGACCAAGAAAUCACCCGACCUCGUACAUCUGUAACAGUCACAAUGGUAUUGUUGAAACUAGCUUGAACAUAAAUAACUGCCAUUUUUAUUAUUUAAAAAAAUAUAAGUCUGAAAUAUAUGGAUAUAUUCAUUUCCUAAACUCGAAAGGGUCUAGUUACUGACGUAUUGGUCUCAUCCCUUGAUAUGAGUUCUUACGCAUUGUAUUGCUAGAAAUAGCUUUUUAUGCUUGUUGUUGAUCAGGGAGCCGAUGACACUUGGAUUUGUUACCGUGUUGGCGGUCGAUCCAUUCGCCAUACUUACACUCUAACUGCUCUGUGUAGAUCUUCACUCUUCAUACUUUUUGUAACUUGGUUUCGCGCGCAUAAGCGGGUUCGCUGGAUUGCGCAUGUGAUUAAUGAUUUUUUGUUAGGAUAGAUUAGAGUUGAUCCAUUAGACUCUUCUUUCACGAUGUAUUCCUCGUUUGAUUAUUCCUGGGUCAGGUCUAAUGUCCAUCCAAUUUAUGCGUGUAGUGUAUCUAUUUAUUUUUCUUUAAUAUAUUUUCUAUUUAGCCUAAAAAAAAUAUGCCAUCUAUACCAACAAUUUUAUUCACCAUCGACAAAUUUCUUUUAGUGCCUAAUCAAUUGGACUGUACUCCUUCCUAAUCGAUCAAUCUCCGUCUUUUCCCCUCAUUUUUUCCCCGCAUCUAGUCGAUUAACAUAUGUUACCUAAGUGGUCCAAAGCCUAUAAUAGCCACAUAAAUUAGAAACAUAAUAUAAUCCUCUCUAAAUUAAUCAUCCAGAUCAACAACAACAAUCAUCAAUAUAACAUUGUAAACACAUCUAAUCAUGUGAUCAACAAUAUCAUCAACAUUAAUAAAACACUAAUCAUGAACACAUUCAUUAACUAAAUCACCAAUUCAUCGUUAAUUAUUUUGGCAACACGUCAUGAGAGAUUGUCCAAUGACAUAAAUCAAAUAGCCUGAUAUGAUCUCCCCACAACAAAACUAAUUAAAACAGGGGUCGUUAAAAUAUAAUCUCUUUCAUUAUCUUAAAGAGUAAAACCCACUCAGUACCUUAAUUGAGAAAAUAAAUAAUCACAUGAUUGAUUGAUUGAAUAAAAAGAUAGUCAUAAGGUGAACCUAUUGAGAAACCCAACCCCACUCAAAUUUAAUUGAGAAAAUACAAAAUCACAUGAUAGAAGAAGUUAAGAGUGUUAAGUGAUUUUUCAAGAAAGUUCUCUCAAAAAUCCUAAGGUACACAGAUUAUGAGAUAAAAAGUUUGACUUUCAUGAAAAGAUAAAUUUUAACUUUGAGCUAUCAUAAAUAAUUUUUCAAUAGAUUUGAAAGUUUAUUAUAAAAUUACACUUUUAUUGUCUAAUGUAUGUAAACAUCAUAUACUUUAUAUUCACCCUACUUUUAACUAAAUUUUUAAUUUAUAAUUAAACUCAAUUUUUUUUUUUGUCAAAUAGUCUACUGGCUAGAUUCACACAUGUUAUAUGUGAAGAAUUGGGGAAUUUAGGAUUCGAACCCCAACUCAUGCAUAAAUUAUUUUGGUAGCUACAUAAACUCAAUUUCUUUACCUACUCAAUUUCAAGUAGCCUAAAUGCUAUAUUUUUCAAUUAGGAAUGAAGAUUAUAGAGUAAACAAUGAUUAUUAUGGUGGUCCAAUGCAAGCAACAAAAAUCCAAAACUUUAUUUCAAAAGGAUUUUCAUAUAGUACAUCAUGUCCUUUCUUUCUUUUCACACCCGCACACGUAUAUAUAGAUUUAGAAAAGCAUCUGAAUCAAUUUAUUUCAACAUGAAAUAUAUUGGACCCAAACAAUAGCAUCACAUCAACACACACAAAUACAACAAAAACAUUCCAAUCAUAGGAGGGUUUGGACGUUCAACCGCUCUUCCUUUUACACUUGCAAGCGGGACCAUCACAAAAAACCACCCUUAAAAUAAAUAAAACAAACUCUCACAACUAAAAUAUUAUGUGUAGAGAGAAUCAAUAAUAACAAUAUCGCUCUUUAACACACAUUUUUCAACUGACUUCUUUCUACAUAUUGAAAUUUAUAUGAGACCAGUAUAUAUUUCAAUCAUCGAGAGUCUGAUGAAAAAUGCGUAAGAGAGGGUUUGUUUUCAAAUAGAAAUUUGACACCUCGAGGCUCGAGCAAUACCCUUAACACUCAGGGAUAAGAUUGUGGUUUCUUCUAGGGUCAUGACAAUAAUUAUACACCAUGUACUUGCUUUGGACCCAUUGCAUGGCCAUAUAUUGUUGAGGGCUAAGACUACCAUAUCCAGAUGGAGAGACAGAUGGUGAUUGGCAUGAGGCAGGACUUUGAAUGGUACAACCUUGUAAUUUGAAGUUAG